This 45553-nucleotide long non-coding RNA is filed under the name Triticum aestivum (bread wheat). Its description in RNAcentral is "long non-coding RNA (TAES_LNC014235)". The stretch from base 35323 to 35437 matches the Rfam family "MIR1120/MIR1122 microRNA precursor family". Lineage: Eukaryota; Viridiplantae; Streptophyta; Magnoliopsida; Poales; Poaceae. The record is from RNAcentral.
GGGAAAAUCUCUACGUACUGAUGUUGUGCACAUCCAAAUACAAGCAAUGUAAGUGACCUAAAUGCUACAUCUCAUACUGUUUCUGAAUUCUAAUACCAUUCCUGUGUAGUUGGAUACCCCAUAGGGCAAAGUUGAUGCUUUGUACAUCACUUCUGGACCUAUUUAUUAAUGUUGCCGUUAUCUGGGUUUCCAUGUACUUGAUAGAUGCAUUCCUUAUCUUUAUGUGUUCCAUCUAGGCAUAUAUGUUUCUGCCCAUAAAUGUAUUUAUGAGUUGGCUCCAUUUUUUUACUGCUUUUAUGUACCGUUUAAUCCCCUAAAAAUGGGCUAUACAUGCAUUUUAAAGAGUUCAAAUCUUCUAUAAACAUUAGCAUUGUCUUACCCCACUGCUCUCUGCCGUGCAGCGAGGAAGAUUUCAUCCUCAACCUCCCUCACGACCCCAGGUCCGACUACUUUCCAGUUUUGUUAUUUUUCUUCUUGGCCGCACUGAACAACAUGGCAACAUGGGUGUCAUGGCCACACACAUGCGUCUUGUUGCCCUCCUUAAAAUUCAAUUAGAUUAUCUACAAACAUGCAGCCAUGUUUAUUUAAGAUCCAAUUAGAUAAAUGUUGUUUAGUUUCCAUAUAGUUUCUAAUCAGAAAGGCCUCAUAUGUAGGUUGGGGACAUGGCGUGAAGAUAUGGUUUUGUGAUCUAUGGUCUUGAGUCAUCUGUUAGAUGGGUGAUAAUGGAAAUUUUCUUGACGGCAAACACGUGCAUAAGUUUUGUGAUAGUUAAACCUGUUUUAUGAGAGUUAAAGCUAUUUUUUGAGAGUUAAACAUGUGCAUACGAAUGGAAUUUUUUUAGAACUGGUCAAACUAUUUUUUUGUAAGAGUUAAAGCUGUUUUCUUGAGGACAAACCCGUGAAUAAGUCUCAUCUGUAUAGAUUAAUUAAUAGGACAGCAAUUUAAGUUUAUUGAAGCUCUUUAAGAAGCGAGGGUCUGCUUUGGUUUCUUGUUGUUUGCCUAUUCUCUUAAAAACAGUUGACUGGAUGCAGCCGAGGGUUAUACAUCAAUAAUUUGGGCAGUUGCAUAUGGAAUUUUCAAGUAAAGGAUUUCAGAAAUCUAAUAUGGCAUGCCUAUUUUUCAUGGAAAAAACGAAUGGUGCCUUAUUUACUAUUUAGUUUUUAAGCUAGACUAAUUUGACUACACGCUUCCUGAGGUGCCUUCUGUUUUUGAAUAGUCAUAGAGUGCUCCUGAUUACGAGAUGUUUCUUUGUCACUAUUUGAAUUUCUGCCUUGGGUGGCCUCUGUCUUGGUUUACAGCUCCAUAUGGCUACUUAUGUAAAACAUAUGUAGGUCCUGUUUGAACUGUUCUCAAAUAUGUUUACUACAGAAAAGUGGAAUAUGCAAAGUUUCUGUGUUGAUUAGGCAAAUACUUGCUUUGCCUUAAAGACUGUCCCCAUCUAUGUUCUAGGUUUUUUGGGUAUGAAUUCCAUAUUUCCCUGGAAUGGAUCAACACAUUUGCAUGCGAUUUUAGAAAAAUAUAUGUGAAUGCAUCUUUCUAAUAAAAGCAUUGCUUAAGAAAUACCCUUUUUCUGAAAUCAAAAUUGUUGUUGGUCUUCUGAUCACUUUCAUUGUCUAUCAGAUAGGCUAUGACUUCCAUAAGCUAGCAUCAUUGGGGUGAGGUCGUUGUGUUUAUUUUAUUUUCAAUGCCUUGCAAGUUAGUGGUUCCCAGAAGAUUGUAGCCUACCUUAUUAGCGUCGACUGGCAUAUUUAUCUUUCAUGUCAUUGCUUAACCAUGCCUGGAUGACUGCUAUAUUUAUACAUGCACAAACUGCUUAUUCCUUUGGUGCUUCCAGAUUAUCAAGGUAUGAGCAGAGCAGCGAGGGAUGAGAAAAGGUGUAACUUAUCUCAGACAUACAGAAAUGAAAAUAAAGCUAUGCACAGAGAAAAGGUGUAGAAUCGAUUGCUGGGCAUGAACUCCUGCAUGGACCACUUUGCUUUGCUUUUGUCACAUUAAAAUUAAUUAUAUUUAGCAAUUUUUGUGUCCACAGCACUAUAAUCCAUCCAUCAUUGUUGGUUCACCAUUCUAAAGGAAAGACUCAUAGAUGCCAUUAGACAAAGGUCAAAUCUUAGUGUACUUGAAUAUAUAGAUUUGUCUGAUUGUGUUGUAAUCUUAGUUUCCUUUUAUAUUUCUGUAUGAACCUACUAUUAUGUGUCAUUGUGUUGUAGUGUUGACCAUCUGCAGCAAGGGUUAGGCAAAUAUUUAUCCUGUAAAAUGAGUUACCGGUUCUUACCACGUGGUUGUUAUUUUAUUUUCAAUUUUUAUGCAUCACAUGAUUUUUUUAAAGUGAUCUUAAUUCAUGGUCCUUAGUUUACUGAUCGUUCGGCGGCUCUGUGUACCAAUAUAGUGGUGCAUCUAGGAGGAAGGGAUCUAGAGACAGCGAUGGGCAAAACAAUCCUGUGGAGGCAGCAAGAGGCAGUUCUCGACAAAUCACUAUUAAGGUGUUCUCUUUUGACCUGUUGAUUUUUCUGUCUCUCUGGUUUUGAUUUCCUGGUAUAAAAUUUACUAGAGAGAAAAGCAGCGCAAGGGUCCAAUGGAAGAAUUUGGUGAAGAACAAGGUCUCCAUCAUUUGGCGUCAAGGAAGGGAAGACCAUGUCAUCAUUUGGCCAGUCCAGGUAAUGCUCUCUACCUGAUGCACUAUUUAGGUCAUCAUGGUUUCAAUGCUUUUGGCUCGUCUUAAUGCUAAUAAGGAAUGUCGGGCUUACAAGUUUCAACCAUGUGCAACGAUUCCAAAGUUAUGUAGGCCAGAUUGUGUUAUUUUUUACUGAACACUUUGUUCUCCAGUGAGGUUACAAAUUCUAUAAUAUGUUGUGGCGGUAUGUACAUAUGGAAAUCCUAAUCUAGCUAAUUUGAUCGUGGGAAACAUGUUGUUAGUCUAUCUUCCAGGCCUGUUGUCACCUCUCAUUAUUUCUGCUAUAAUGUGAGCCAAUUAGAAACUGAUAUAAUGUGUUUUUCCUAAUAGAUCUCAUGCUGGUGUGUUUUGCAUUCUCAAAAAAUCAUGACAGGUCCCCAUGCCCCUGUAUCUGCCCUCGAAGCCGGGUUCCGCGAGCUAAGGUUGCAGGGGAGAAUGAACGUGCAAGUUUGCAGCAUCAAAUGUUUUUCUACAUUUGAUGGGUAGCUAAAUUAGUUUGAUUUCACGGAUGAUGGAGCCUUGCUGUGUGACGUAGUUCCUGGUGAAGAAAUAUUUGUUAGGUCUAUGUAUGUGUGUACUGGAGUUGGUGCAUCUCCAAGGAAGAACGAAACCCUUAUUCCUAUCUUAUCAUAUGCUACACUUAAAUGCAAAGUGUUAGCUAUGUUAACUGCUGUUUCAAUCCCUUGUUUGAAAAUGUGAUUGAUUACAAAUUGCGCAUGCUCAAGUAUAUAUUUGUAAAAAGAAGUCCUCCUUAAUUUUUGAUUAAAAAGGGUUUGGGUUGGCGCUUGAAGUGUUUGCUCAUAGCUAAAGUUACUACACAUUCAUGAUUUUAAAUGGGUAUUUGCGCACAUCUCACUGUAGAUAACAAGGCACCAUUUUUUUUAAUUGUGGACAAGAAGUCACCAUUCUUUUUUUAAAGGGUGUUAAAUUUGUCAUCAUAUGUGUUUGCCCACAACUAAACCAACUAAAUCAUGUAUUUUCUUUUCAACGUGUACAUGGAUUUAGCAUGCCUCUGCGCUAUUUGGCGCAACGGGUCCACUAGUAUAAAGAAAAAGCCGUGAUGAAGGCCGCUGCAGCAUGGCAGGAACGACGCGAGCAGGCAGCCUUCGGGACGAAGCUAUCGCAAGCAUUGCCGUCCUUUGGCCCGCGCCAGGCCUGUGACACUCUCAGAGCGAGAGCCGAGAGUAGGCUAAGGAUCAUGUGCCAUUGGACAGCCUUUCGUCCGGCCAUGACGUUUGGAUGCCGGGGCCAUUAUUCAGGCUCCAAAACUGCUCUCCUCAUCACCAUUGUCUUUCUCCCUAGUCAUAGUGAAGAGUAACUUAGAUUAGUGUCAUGCAUAUGACAGUGGUCUAUAUUACUAUCCUUAUAGUACAAAAUGUCAUAUAGAUAGUAACAUAUAUAGUUGUAUUUACUGGCUUGUAGACUCAAUUUUUUUUGAAAAACGCUAUGUGAUGGUAACAUAAUAUGUUACUCCAAACACCUUUCUUCUCAUUAACUAGUUGUCACAUAAGCAAACUUGUCUCGAGAUAUGUUAUGUUACUCCCGCUAUGACCAGCCUCAUAAGUUCAUGUCCCGUGUGUCUUCACUUCUUCACUCGCCGACCCCUUCUGUUCCUUCAACGCUCCCACCCCAUGUCUCAUGAGAAGCACUACCAGCCUAUAUUAGUCAACCAACACGCUACAUGGAUCAAAGGGGAAAUAUCUGGUGCGCUCGUUCAUUACAUGCGCCCAAGCUGAGCUCCUGUUUUUAAAAACCCAUUUAAAUGUUUUAUUGUUUGCGGAUUUUCAUAAAAGAUGUGUAUUCAAUCCUAAAAAUCGUAUCCGAAUUACACGUCAAGAAAAAUAAGAGCCAAAUCCAGAUGUUUGCAGUGUCGUUUUUUGCUUUUGUAUUUUUCAUGACACCAUUAGUGCUAGAUUUUUUUUAACACGGCAUAGAUGCAUACGAACAUAGAUUCACCAUUAUGGACGACGCACAGACAUCCUACCCCUAUGAGCAUAUCCAAGAAACUAGGCUGGCUCGUCAUUUUAAGAUUGAUGAAGUCUUCACCGACGUUUUCGAAGUAGACAAGAAUGUCAUAUUUCACAAAAACUUCCUGAAGGCCUGAAAUAACUUAAGAAAAAUGCAAGCAUUGGCGUCAAGUCCAGGGCUUCAACUUGAAUAGACUGGGAUACCACUUCCUCCCUACCAUCUAAACACAAAUUGGUUCACAAUGUCCGAUUUUCUUGACAACGCUCAACAUGAAGUUUUCAUUUUCUUUCUCCAUGUGUGAAAUGAAUUUUGAUCUGAAGUUUGUAGGGGUCGCAAACAGAUGUCUUAUGACAUCCAUGAAAUGUUUCAGAAUUUUCUGAAACGUUUAAAUUAUACUUUUUUAGUGCAGGAGGAUGGUGGCUUGUGAUGAAUGAGGGCAUUGGAUACUCACCCUCUCAUGGAUUAGAACCGACACAUAAUUUACAUGUUCGCACGCGCACAAGUUACAUGAAGCAACCAACACAAAUGCAAUGGAGAGGAAACACAAUGGAUGUGUGCGUGUGUGAGUGUGACACGACUCAUUAGUAAUGGCGCAUUGUAAACGAAGGCAACAUUGUCGAUUCUGGCACGGGCAAUACAAGGGGGUGACACUCCCUGGCAGCUCCGAGUAAAUGGUACACCUUGCUUUCAUAGGCAAUACUCGAGGAGUAUUCAAAAACUUUAUGCAUGUGUCUUUUUUUGAGGAAUACAUAUGUUACUUUGUCCCUUACUCCCUCAUUUGAGUAAAGAAUUUUGGAAAAAUGUCCACGGUGAAAAAUAAGACUGUCAAUUGAUGCAUAGACGGACGCUUUACAAGGAGAGUAGUAAGCUAAAUGUCGAAUUCUGAGACUCUUUUCUCCUAAGAAAAUUCAAGUGGAGUCCAAGUAGUGGCAAACUGGAACGAAAGUGUCAUUCUGCUGGCGAGCUCAAAUGCUCCCUCCUGAAUAGUAAAAUCAAAAUAAAUAAGAAUCACAUUAAAAAAAUUGUCCAGAACACUAACGAAUUUUCUAUAUACAUGCAAAUUUCUUGUUGAGUAUUUGUUAGAACAUUCUUCACAGAUUUUAUUUUUUUUGGAUUGAAUAUUUAACUUCUCAACCAUCCUCAUGCAAUUUUUUUUUGUCCAGAACACUAACGAAUUUUCUAUAUGAAUGUUUAUUGAGUAUUUGUUAGUGUUUAUGAGGGAGCAUUUGAGUUUGGGAGCAGAAACUCCAUAUCCCAAACUAGAAUACUUCUUUUUUUUCCCUCAUGGUUUGUUUCAAUUCAAAAGAUGAACUGAGACGACGAAAUUAACAUAAGAUUUUUUGAAACCGCCAGAAAUGACAAUUUAGGGAAAGACACUGAGAAAUUUGAAUGGUGAUACCACUUAAUCACCCCAUAGGUCACUGAAUAUCAGACAACGAGUCUCGUAGCAAGGAAACAGAUCACUCGUGUGUUUGGUAGGGUGCAUGAGAGCAAAAAUUCCCUUCUCGGCCCAUUUUUGGGUGUUUCGUAGAAUGCAUGAAGGGUGCAUGAGUCCACACUAGUUUAAUACAAUACACUAGAAGGGUAUGCAUGAAAAUAGGUGCUGAGAUGAGCAUGCACAAGACAACUAUGAUGAAAUAAUAAUGCAACCAAUGAAGCAAACACACACAGAGUAGCGGAAGCAAGAAAAAGAUCCGCGGUGCGCCUCAUGUCCUCCGUCUCGCUCUCCUGCUAUCCUUCCAGCGCUCGAAACUCCUCUGGGUGAGUCCAUUCUUCGGGGCUGAUCCAAACAGGCACCAAGACAGACGGGCAAGCCAAAUUUUUGAUAGGGUCGGCAUUGGUCCAAACAGCCCGUGUCACUUUUGUACACUCGGCCAAGUAUUUCUUUUCUUUUGUUGCGCACAUGACUCGUCGGUCUCUUUUCCCACAGACAAGUCGAUCAGCAGCAAAUCUCUGGCCCCUGCAACUCGUUCUCGACAAUCCCUAGGGUAGAGUUUAGAGUAGAGCGGUGGCACCUCGGACAACACCUUGCACACACCUCACGUAUUAUCAGGCCAACUCCACAGCGCGACCUUAUCCUGUCCGGCAUCAUCCGUUUAGAGUAAAAGGUAUAAAAAAGGCGGUCCAACGCGCGGGAGCAAACGGACUUUUAUCCGUUUUGUGUCCGCUUUCGACCCAUCCGCUGCCCAAGUUUACGCCGUUUUUGGGGUGAAACGAACACCACACGGAUACGCGGGUCGUCUGCGCGUGUCCUUUCCUGGCACACACGUCAGUGGCACAAGACGGGCCUUUUUCUAUCCGCCCCCUCCCUCCCUCCGGCCGCAUCCCCUCCACUCUUCCCCACUCUUCCCGUCGCUGCCGCCGCCGCCACCGCUGCUGCCAUUGCAGCCGUGCAGUUUGGACGCGAGCUCGCCCAACCCCUUCCCCUCGGCGCCGCCGAGCUACCCAACCACGGCCACCUGGUUUGCGCACCCGCCGGCCGGUUUUGGGGCGGAUCUGGUCGGUCUUGAGCUCGGCCGGCUGUGGGAGGCCGGGCCGCGCCAUGGACUGGCCGGGCACCUCGCCGGAAGGCCCUGGCAGGGCCGCAAGGCCGCAUGCAGGCAGUGGCUCCUCCUCUAGCCGCUCGGAUCUGCACCGUCGGCGGUCCGCCGGCAGAUACACGAACGGCAGUCGGUCGGGCUCGGUGCUUGCCCAAAAGCUCGCCGGCGCACCGUUGCCACUCAUUAAGUGCGAUCACUGCCCAAGGAUGGUCGUGCGCCACGUGUCUAAAAUGACGGAACAUCCCGGAUGGGUGUUCAUCAAGUGCUUAAACGAUGGGGUAUGUGCUUUUUUUAGCUUCGGUUUGUGCUCUAGAUUUAACUAGUUGUGCUAAUUUCAAAUUUUGUUGUGUAGAACGGAUGCAAGUUUUGGUAUUGGGAAGAAGAGUACAUCGAUAUAUUGAUAGAGCAAAAUUUAGUACAUGUUCGUGCACUUUUAGCUAGCAUAGAGGCUGUAAAUGAGAUAAGUGCACUUGAUGCUAGAUUAGAGGCUAGACACGAGACUAGGUGUGAGGAGGAAGCAACAUCGACUUCCGGCUUGAAGAAGAAAGGAGGAUGCCAGAUCGAGCCUUCUGGCUUGAAGAAGAAAGGAGGAUGCCAGAUCGACCCUCCUCCACAGAUCAACAACGAGUGCAUCGAGAAGGCCCUAACCCAAUUCAAGGGAGUAGUUAUGGAAAUUAAGUAUCUUCUAAAAUGUAUUCUUUUGGUUCUUGUUUUCUUUGGCCUUGCUUUACUAGUUAAAAUGUGAUGAUGCAUUUUUUAUGUAUCAAAAAUGAAUGAUGAAAUAAAGUUAAGGACUUACAAAGAAAUAAUACGCGGACAAGAUGCGGCAGGGAUGCGUCCGCGCGGUGGGCGCACCGCCACCGCAUUCCAAAACAGACUCGGAUAUGAUCUCAAAUUCCUACCCAAAGCAACAAAAACAGAAUAAAACGGACGUCCGUUUAAGGCCGCGCGGUGGAGUUGGCCUUGUCUACAUCUACAUGCAUACAAGCGCAUGCGCAUACAAAUAGUACCCUUCUUUUGCGUGAAUCAACCAGCAGACAUGCCUAGCAGAACGAGCUGGGCUACGGGCUACGGCCAGAGUCUACAUCAGUCGGGUGCAAAAAGGGGCAAAGCCAGUAAAUGUGACGCAUGCCGCUGCAGCAGGGUACGAGUGGGCAGCCUUCGAGACGAAGAUAUUGCCAGCAUUGCCGUCCAUCGGGUACGGCUGACCUGAGGAUCAUGUGCCAUUCAGCCAUUGGCCAGCCUUUCGUCGGGCCAUGACGUUUGGAUGGCAGGGCCAUUAUUCAGGCUCGGGAAGUGCUCCCCUCCUGGCCUCCUCACCAUUGUGUUUUUUCUCUUGCGAGGUCCUCACCAUUGUAUUUCUUCUCUCCUCGAAGUUCAUUACAUGCUCCCAAGUGCUCCCCUCGAAGUUCAUGCCUCGUGCCCUCACUUCGUCACCGACCCCCGCUGUGUUCAACGCUCCCACCCAUGUCUCCUGAGAAGCACCACUGUAUGGAUAUCUCGUUCAUUACAUGCUCCCAAGCUGAGCUCCUGUAUUAAAAAAAAAUCGAUUUAAAUGUUUCACAAAUGUUUUUAUUAUUUUGUGGAUUUUUACUACAGUCCGAAAAAUCAUAUCCGAAUUUGACUAAACGUACAUUGCUAGAAGGCCUGAAAAAUGCGAGCGGAGGUGUCAACUCUAGGACUUCAACUCUGAUGGACUGAAUAUACCAUUGUCCUCCUAAUCCAAUCACAUGUAGGGUCACAAUGUUGAAUUUUCUUGACAAUGGUCUAGUAUGGAUUUCUCUUCCUUUUUCUUCAUGUGUGAAAUGAAUUUUGAUCUCAAGUUUCUAAGGGUUGCAGACAUAUGUCUUGCGACAUCCAUGCAAUGUUUCAGAAUUUUCCGAAAUAUUUAAAUUGAUUUAUUUAAUGCAGGAGGAUGGUUGCUUGUGAUGAACGGGAGCAUUUGAUACUCGUCCUCUGAUGGAUCGAACCGACACAUAAUUUGCAUGUACGCACGCACGUUGUGUGUGUGUGUGACUUGACUUGUUAGUAAUGGCGUGUUGUAGGUGAAGGCAGCAUUAUCGAUUCUGGCACGGGCAAUACAAGGGGGUGACACUCCCUGGCAUAAUUGAGGAAUAUUCAAAAACUUUAGGCAUGUGUCUUUUUUUAGAAAAAGAAAACAAACAUACCUUUUUUUUUGAGGAAUGCAUAUGUUACUUUGUCCCUUACUCCCUCAUUUGAGUAAUGCAUUUUGGGAAAACGUCGACGGUGAAAAAUAAUACUUCCUCCUUCCAUCUAUAUAAGGCCUAACCCCAAAUUUCAUUUUUCCAUCCAUACAAGGCUAAACGAGCUAACCAAUGCAUCUCCCACUGUAUAGAUGGAAGGAGGGAAUAGGUCGUCGGAAGUGGAUUAAGAGCACUCGGCGACGCAGCCCUCUGGAAUCACCGCCGCUCACCUACUAGCUCGGGAUCAGCGCCACCUUUUACAAAAUGUUUUGUUCGUGUGAAUACAAAUCCAACGCGUAGAAACAAACAGUUCAUACCUGUGCUUAUAAUGACGGAUGGAAAGUGUGUGAGGUUUGGUUGUGUAAGGUGAUAAUAAAUGACUCUGCACUCAUUUAAUAUGUCUGCAAUUUCGUGGACAAAAAACUUGGUGGUCUUUUGGUUUGUGGGAUUUGACAUGGUAAAAGGUGUGUUGAGGUAAAAUAGUGCACGAGAGAGGGUUGGAAGUUGACGUGGCUGCAGUAAAAAUGUCCGAUGUACGUGGUAGGAUUCGUACGACCAUGUGCAUGGAAGGGUCAUAUGAAAAAACCUAAUGAAUAUCAUCAUUGGUGGCUAGAUUGAUGAAAACAUUAUUAAGAUUAGCAAUAAUAGAGAUUACAUAGUAUUUGUUGGUGAGGGAGUCCUGAAUUAGGGGGUGUUCGGGUAGUCGGACUAUACCUCCAGCCGGACUCCUGGACUAUGAAGAUACAAGAUUGAAGACUUCGUCCCGUGUCCGGAUGGGACUUUCCUUGGCGUGGAAGGCAAGCUUGGCGAUGCGGAUAUUCAAGAUCUCCUACCAUUGUAAUCGACUCUAUGUAACCCUAACCCUAUCCGGUGUCUAUAUAAACCGGAGGGUUGUAGUCCGUAGGCAAUCAACUCCAUAUACAACAAUCAUACCGUAGGCUAGCUUCUAGGGUUUAGCCCCCUUAAUCUCGUGGUAGAUCUACUCUUGUACUACCCAUAUCAUCAAUAUUAAUCAAGCAGGACGUAGGGUUUUACCUCCAUCAAGAGGGCCCGAACCUGGGUAAAACAUCGUGUUCCCUGCCUCCUGUUACCAUCCGGCCUAGACGCACAGUUCGGGACCCCCUACCCGAGAUCCGCCGGUUUUGACACCGACAUUGGUGCUUUCAUUGAGAGUUCCUCUGUGUCGUCGCCUUUAGGCCCGAUGGCUCCUUUGAUCAUCAACAACGAUACGGUCCAGGGUGAGAAUUUUCUCCCCGGACAGAUCUUCGUCUUCGGCGGCUUCGCUCUGCGGGCCAAUUCGCUCGGCCACCUGGAGCAGAUCGAAAGUUACGCCCCUGGCCAUCAAGUCAGGUUUGGAAGCUUAAACUACACGGCUGACAUCCGCGGAGACUUGAUCUUCGACGGGUUCGAGCCACGGCCAAGCGCGCCGCACUAUCUCGAGGGGCAUGAUCUAGCUCUGCCUCCGGACAGUGUCCUGGAGGCCGCACACGCAUUGGUUCCGACCCCUAACUCGGAGCCUAUUGCGCCAAUCGAGGAUGAGCGGCUGGACGUCACCUCGGGGGCUGCGAUCCCGAAAGCGAUUGAGCCGAACGCUAGCCCCGCACUCUGCACGACCUGUGACUCCGAGGACCCGGACUCCUCCCCGGACUCCGAACCCCCCGCGCCCCUGCCAAUUGAAUCCGAUUGGGCGCCGAUAAUGGAGUUCACCGCCGCAGACAUCUUUCAGCAUUCGCCUUUUGGCGACAUCCUGAAUUCUCUUAAGUCUCUCUCUUUAUCAGGAGAGCCCUGGCCGGACUACGGUCAGCAAGGGUGGGAUACGGACGAUGAGGAAAUUCAAAGCCCACCCACCACCCACUUUGUAGCCACUGUCGACGAUCUAACCGACAUGCUUGACUUCAGCUCCGAAGACAUCGACGGCAUAGACGACGAUGUAGGAGACGAACGGGAACCAGCACCUGUAGGGCGCUGGAAGGCCACCUCGUCAUAUGACAUAUAUAUAAUGGAUACUCCAAAAGAUGGAGAUGGCGAUGGAACAGUGGGGGAUGACGCCCCCAAGAAACAGCCGAAGUGCCGGCGUCAGCGGCGCCGCUCUAAAUCCCGCCAAAGUAAAAACGGUGAUUCCGGCACGGGAGAUAAUACUACCCCGGAUAGCGCCGAAGAACACCCACCUCAGCAAGAUUCGGCACAGGAAAAUGGAGAAGCCAGCCCUCAUGAGAGAGCGGCAGACCAAGAGGUCAAGGAUGGUAACUAUACGCCUCCCUCCGAAGACGAGGCACGCCUCGAUGAUGACGAAUUCGUCAUACCAUCAGACCCCGCCGAACAAGAGCGUUUUAAACGCAGGCUUUUAGCCACGGCAAUCAGCCUCAAGAAAAAGCAGCAACAACUUAGAGCUGCCCAAGAUUUGCUAGCUGACAGAUGGACCGAAGUCCUUGCGGCCGAAGAGUAUGAACUCGAACGCCCCUCCAAGAGUUACCCGAAGCGCAGGCCGCUACCCCGAUCAGAGGAGGAAGCACCUACAUCACCAGCGCAUGACAUGGCAGACCGGCCAUCUCGCGGCCGCGACAGAGAGGCCUCUCGGACCUCCACCCAAGCCAUGCCCCGACGCCGCUCAACUAAGGCACGGGAAAAUGCGCCCGACCUACGAGACAUACUGGAGGGUAAGGCAAGACAAACAAGAUCGAUCUACGGAUCGUGCAGGCACCCUACGGCAUGUGACAAUGAUCUUCACGCCGGAUACAACAAAUCCGGCCGGGCCGAACACAACAGACAUAGCUCUUCCGAGCUGCGUCGUGAUAUAGCCUAGUACAGAGGCGCCGCACACCCGCUAUGCUUCACGAAUGAAGUAAUGGAUCAUAAAAUCCCAGAGGGUUUCAAACCCGUAAACAUCGGAUCAUACGAUGGCACAAUAGAUCCGGCGGUAUGGAUCGAGGAUUAUCUCCUUCACAUCCACAUGGCACGCGGAGAUGAUCUACACGCCAUCAAAUACCUCCCGCUCAAACUUAAAGGACCGGCCCGGCAUUGGCUUAACAGCUUGCCAGCAGACUCAAUCGGUUCUUGGGAGGACCUGGAAGCCGCAUUCCUCGAUAACUUCCAGGGCACUUACGUGCGACCGCCGGAUGCUGACGACUUAAGCCACAUAAUUCAGCAGCCAGAGGAAUCGUCCAGACAAUUCUGGACAUGGUUCCUAACAAAGAAAAACCAGAUAGUCGACUGUCCGGACGCAGAGGCCCUAGCAACCUUCAAGCAUAACAUCCGCGAUGAGUGGCUUGCCCGACACCUGGGACAUGAAAAGCCGAAAUCCAUGGCAUCCCUCACGACACUCAUGACCCGCUUUUGCGCGGGAGAAGACAGCUGACUAGCUCGCAGUAACAACUUAUCAAAGAACCCUGGUAAUUCGGAUACCAAGGACAAAAGUGGCAGGACACGUCGGAAUAAGCAAAAACGCCGCGUUAACAGCGACAGCAAUGAAGACACGGCAGUCAACGCAGGAUUCAAAGGCUAUAAAUCCGGUCAGUGGAAAAAGCCAUUCAAAAAGAAUACUCACGGCCCGUCCAGUUUGGACCGAAUACUCGAUCGCUUGUGCCAGAUACAUGGCACCCCCGAAAGGCCAGCCAAUUACACUAACAGGGAUUGUUGGGUGUUCAAGCAGGCAGGCAAGUUAAGGGCCGAAAACAGAGACAAGGGGCGGCACAGCGUCGACGAGGAGCCCAAGCCGCCGAACAACAAUGGAUAGAAGGGCUUUCCCCCACAAGUGCAGACGGUGAACAUGAUAUAUGCAACCCAUAUUCUCAAGCGGGAGCGGAAGCGUGCGCUACGGGACGUAUACGCGAUAGAGCCAGUCGCCCCAAAGUUCAACCCAUGGUCCCCCUGCCCGAUCACUUUUGAUCGAAGGGACCAUCCCACUAGUAUCCGUCAUGGCGGCUUCGCCGCAUUGGUUCUCGACCCAAUCAUCGACGGAUUUCAUCUCACAAGAGUCCUCAUGGACGGCGGCAGUAGCCUGAACCUGCUUUAUCAGGAUACAAUGCGGAAAAUGGGCAUUGAUCCCUCAAGGAUUAAGCCCACAAGAAUGACCUUUAAAGGCGUUAUACCAGGUGUAGAAGCCAACUGUACAGGCUCAGUAACACUUGACGUGGUCUUCGGAUCCCCGGACAAUUUCCGAAGCGAAGAGUUAAUAUUCGAUAUAGUCCCGUUUCGCAGUGGCUAUCAUGCCCUGCUCGGACGAACCGCAUUCGCAAAGUUCAAUGCGGUGCCGCACUACGCAUAUCUCAAGCUCAAGAUGCCAGGCCCUCGAGGAGUAAUUACGGUCAACGGAAACACCGAACGCUCCCUCCGUACGGAGGAGCAUACGGCGGCUCUCGUAGGGGAGGUACAAAGUAGCCUUCUCAGGCAAUUCUACAGUCCGGCCAUUAAAAAGCCAGACACUGCCAAGCGCGCCCGGAGUAACCCACAGCAGGACCGCCUGGCACACUCUAAGCAAGCGUAGCAAUGCGGCCCCAACCCCAGCUUUCGCGACAUAGUGAAACCAGUACCUCGCGUACAUAACUAUGCCCUUGAAAUACCAUGGGCAUAGGGGAAGGGGCACAAUAACGGCAUGCCCAAAAUACGGCUUAAAACGUACUAGGGGCUGCCGGAUUCUUUUUUUUCUAAUUUUUUCUUCCUUUCAGGACUCCAUACUUCGGACGACCUGUUCGGCAAUUCGCCUGCCGCACAAACGAUGCAAGAUCCAGGGAGACAGACAAGCCAUGCCGCAUUAUGGAACUGCCAGGUGGUCUCUGUUACGAGCGGUAUACCUGUUUUAAAUACAAUUCUGCGGCCUGCCCCUGGUCAGGACAUACUGAAUAGUCCAAUGUCUUUUGCUUACCGCACUAUUUGCAUCGUUCGACUUUGAUAAAUAGCCUCUCUAUAGACAAUGCUUAGCUUCUUGUCUAUUUUUUGCAUUAUCCUCUUUUCACAUAUAUGUUUAUUAAAUGACAUGAUUGCACCCGUACACCAUGGUACGACAAACACGCCAGGGGCUUCAGUACCCCUCAUUAUGGUGUGAGAAGUCCGUACACUUUCACAAGUGCGGCACCCCGAACUUAUAGCACUAUAUGCAUCAGCUUCGAAUCAUGAUUUGGGUCAAUAGUUGGGUUUGCCCGGCUCCUAUGUUUUGGUGCCUUACGUUCCGCUAUAUCGGCUAAGGUAGCACUAGGAGAACCACUGCGAUUGUGCCCCGGUUCAGCUGGGUUAAGCACCUCAGUGGAGAAAGUUAAAACUGACUGUCAUGAUGAGGCGAGAGACCGGUCGUUGUUCGAGAGGUUUUUCGAGUCCCUAAAGACUUAUGCCGCUUCGAGCGAGGAGCUGGCUUUGUCCGGCCAAGGCGUGGAUAGCGCCCCGAACUCGGUCUUCCGAGUUAGGGGCUUUGCCGAAAUUUAAAAUUAUAGAGUUCUAUGGCUAAGUGAGAGUGUUCAAGCAUUAUAGUCUGAUUGCCUGGUUCGUUGUGCUGAGCGCCUCCCUUGAAGGACCCAACUAUGGGAAAAAGAGCGCUCAGAUUUAUCCCGAACACCCCAGCACUAGCGGCAUGGGGGCAGAAGCCGACGACCGGCCAUCUCUCAAUUUUUUGAUAAACGGCCGCACAUAAAGUAAUAUUUUAAAUUCAAUAAGCAUUGCUUAGCGCAUAUGAACAAGUUUUCAACGCACAGGAUAAACACGAGCGAGUUCAUUCAAAAAUCACAUCCUUGGUACAUUCAUCCGCCACAAGGCGGGCACCUGCAAGAACAUCCUUGUAGUAGUUCUCGGGCUUGCGAUGCUCCUUUCCCGGCGGCGGCCCGUCCUUCACAAGCUUCUCACCGUCCAGCUUACCCCAGUGCACCUUCGCACGGGCAAGGGCCGGACGGGCACCUUCGAUGCAGACGGAGCGCUUGAUGACCUCGAGCCUCGGACAGGCCUCCACCAGCCGCCGCACGAGUCCGAAAUAGCUGCCACAGCCAAACUAUGAGGCCCUUCAUGGCCUGUUUGGCCGCCUUGUGGAGCUCGACCAGCUGUUUCAGCUGGUCGCUCAAAGGCACAGGGUGUCCGGCCUCAGAAUACUGAGACCAGAACACCUUCUCCGUCGAGCUGCCCUCUUCAGCUCGGUAGAAUGCGGCGGCGGCGGAUACGCUGCGGGGAAGAUCUGCGAAUGCCCCUGGAGAGCUCUUGAUUCGGGUAAGUAACAAGUAGUUUACUUUUAUAUUUCUGCUUUGCAUAAAGAAUGCCUUACCUGCUGCUAUCUUCCUCAUCUCCUCCAACUCUUGGAGGGCCUUUUGGGCUUCGGCCUUGGCAGACUUGGCAGUCUCAAGGGCCGUCGCGAGCUCGGAUGCUUGCGCCUUUGACUCAAGCUCCAAACUCUCAUAUUUUUUCAUAAGAGCCUGAAGCUCUUGCUGUACCUCGCCGACCUGAACCCCAAGUCUGUCUCGCUCGGUGCGCUCCAUGGCCGUUUUCUUUUCGGCCUCAGACAUCGCCUGCUUAAGGGUCGCCACCUCAGUCGUGGCCCCUACAAUAAGCAGUACAAUCCCGUUAUUUUUUCUUUUUGCAAUCGCGCCUUUUUAUAGGCACUUUUUCUGUAAGGUAUUUCUUACCUUCUUUCUCCUCGAGCUGCCGCUUGGCAAGGCCGAGCUCUUGCUCGGUCCGCUCGAGGUCCUGCUUCAGGACACCCACCUCCGCAGUCAAUGCGGCGGUGGAUAGCAGUGAAGCCUGCAUACGCAUAUUGACUCUUUUUGUUAGACUCCUGCGAAAUUUAAUAGAUCCUCUAUUCGGCUUUUCUUUCCGAACGCCAAACAGAGCAUCAGGGGCUACUGUCUAUGCGGUAAUAUUUUUACAUAUUUUUACUUACCUCGAAGCCUGUUAGAAGGCUAGCGCAAGCUUCAAUCAGUCCGCUCUUGGCGGACUGAACCUUCUGGAUCACCGUACUCAUAAUAGUAUGGUGCCCCUCGUCGAUGGAGGCGCCGUCAAGCACCUCCAGCAGAUUGUCGGGCACCUCCGGUUGGACGGAGGCCGCCGGCUUAGAAGGCUUGCUCCUCUUGGAAGGAGUUCGCCUACCGCGGUCUGGAACUGUGGAAGAUUCCGGCAUGGUGUCCGGCACAAAGCCGGACUUGGAGCCCUGGGGGCCUUAUCCCCUUCACUCCUGGAGUCCGGGAGGUUGCCCUGCGGCUCCUCCGGGACCACCUCCUCCUGCCCCGGAGCUUGUCGCAACGCCACUUCGGCGCCGUCUGCAGUGCGGGUGGAGACAGCGGGCGGAACUGAGUUCACGUCCGAUGAGUCCAAGGAGCCGCCCGACGAUUCGUCGAAUUCGGCCCGGGGCAGACUGCAUAAUUACAUUCGACAUUAGGAAAAGCUGUGCAACAAAGGAACAUCAUGAGUUAUUCUGAUAUCCGAACUUACGAUUUCGCCGGACGCUUGGCCCUGUUUGGCCACUCCUCUUUGCCCUCUUCGGUGUUGGGGGCGUAGUCCGGCGAAGGGGUCUUCCUUUUUCUAGACCCCUCGGCCUCCCCCGUUGGGGCGGCCUUCCUCUUCUCUCCUCCCUCCGCUGGGGGGGGGAGAGUUUUCUUCUUCCUCCUCCUCGUUUUCGCGGGAGGAGGGCGUCUCGGACUCGUCAGAUGACGAGUCCGACAUCACCACGUUACGGGCACUCUUUCGAGUCCUCGUGGUCUUCUUCUUCUUGGCCUUCUUCUCCGACACCACAUAAGGCGCCGGAACCAGCAGCUUCACUAGUAGAGCUGGGGCUGGGUCUUCGGGCAGCGGAGCCAGACAGUUAAUCGGUCCGGAUAUCACCCGCCAAGCCUGUCAAAGGUAAGGGAGUUGAGAUCCCGCAUAGAGUCAAACUAUGAAGAAAGCUUAACAUCCUGUAAAAGGUGAAGAUAGCUCACCUCGCUAGCGUGACGCUACGAUCUGUAUCCGCGGUCCUCGGAAGCGGAUGCGGGAGCCUCGGCGCCCUUGAAUAGCACCUUCCAGGCAUCUUCGUACGUCGUGUCGAAGAGCCUGCUAAGGGUUUGGUGCUACGCCGGGUCGAACUCCCACAGAUUAAAAUCCCGUUGUUGGCACGGGAGGAUCCGGCGGACGAGCAUAACCUGGAUUACAUUAACAAGCCGGAUUGGCUUGUUCACCAGGGACUGGAUGCAUGUUUGUAAUCCGGUCACCUCUUUUUCGUCACCCCACGACAGGCCCGUCUCUUUCCAGGACAUAAGCCGCGUGGGGGUCCGGAUCGGAACUCGGGGGCUGCGGUCCAUUUCGGAUCGCGUGGCUCGGUGAUGUAAAACUACCCGGAUUGCCACCCCUUUAGGGUCUCCACAAAAGAGCCCUCGAACCAUAGGACGUUGGCCAUCUUGCCCGCCAUGGCGCCUCCGCACUCCGCCUGGCUGCCGCGCACCACCUUGGGCUUGACGUUGAAGGUCUUGAGCCAGAGGCCGAAAUGAGGGCGGACGCGGAGGAAAGCCUCGCACACGACGAUAAACUCCGAGAUGUUGAGGAUGAAGUUCGGGGCCAGAUCGUGGAAAUCCAGGCCGUAAUAGAACAUGAGCCCCUGGACAAAUGGGUGGAGUGGAAAACCCAGUCCGCGGAGGAAGUGGGGGAGAAAUACUACCCUCUCAUGGGGCCUUGGGGUGGGGAGAAGCUGCCCCUCUUCGGGAAGCCGGUGCGCGAUGUCCUUGGACAGGUAUCCGGCCUUCCUUAGCUUCUUGAUUUUGUCCUCCGUGGCGGAGGAGACCAUCUACUUGCCUCCCGCUCUGGACAUUGCUGGAGAAGGUUGAGGUGGGAAGUGCGGGCUUGGGCGCUGGAGCUCGGGUGCGCAGGAGAUGGAUAGGCAAAGGAGGAAGAAGGCGUAGGUAAAAAGGUGGAUCCUUGUCCCCUUAUAUGGGCGGAUGCGGUUGUGCGUCCCCACCUGCCUAGUUAAACUCCCUUGCCUCCCAAGCGCCGUGAUAAAUGGCACGGUUGGGUUACCCACGUCCGUAUUGAUGAGAAUCCCGUAAAAGGAGGGUACACGAUCUCUGCUUUGACAAGACGUGCCAAGGAAACCGCCUCGCAAAACACGCUGAGGUGGAAAAGUGAAAACGAUUUGAGUGAAGGACUUGGCUGUAGUGUGAUGACGCACUGCGGAAUACAUCAGCAGAUUUGAUUUGUGUUAAUAUUAUUCUCUCUAUGACAAUAUGUGGAAGCUUAUUUUGCAGAGCUGGACACUACUCUUUGUGUUUACAAUCUUCUAUGAAGGACUUGGAGGAGGAACCCGCCUUGCAAUGCCGAAGACAAUUUGCGCGCCGGACUCGUCGUCAUUGAAGCCUGGUUCAGGGGCUACUGAGGGAGUCCUGGAUUAGGGGGUGUUCGGGUAGCCGGACUAUACCUUCAGCCGGACUCCUGGACUAUGAAGAUACAAGAUUGAAGACUUCGUCCCGUGUCCGGAUGAGACUUUCCUUAGCGUGGAAGGCAAUCUUGGCGAUGCGGAUAUUCAAGAUCUCCUACUAUUGUAACCGACUCUAUGUAGCCCUAACCCUAUCCGGUGUCUAUAUAAACUGGAGGGUUGUAGUCCGUAGGCAAUCAACUCCAUAUACAACAAUCAUACCGUAGGCUAGCUUCUAGGGUUUAGCCUCCUUGAUCUCAUGGUAGAUCUACUCUUGUACUACCCAUAUCAUCAAUAUUAAUCAAGCAGGACGUAGGGUUUUACCUCCAUCAAGAGGGCCCGAACCUGGGUAAAACAUCGUGUUCCCUGCCUUCUGUUACCAUCCGGCCUAGACGCACAGUUCGGGACCCUCUACCCGAGAUCCGCCGGUUUUGACACCGACAGUUGGCCAUUGUCUGUCAGUUUAUGACAGAUGACAUUAAUGCCCUAGGUUAGAUACAAAUCAAUCUAGACUUAACCUUGCAACAUGGUAUAACUAUUUUGUAAUACUGAUGUGGUAACAUGGCCUGGAUGUGCUGACUAGCAGGGUGAUGACGAUGCGGUGGAAUUUCCUGUCUACGGUAACAUGAAAUGGAUGGAAGAGGCUGGUGCAUGCAUUAACAUGAAAUAGGUGGUUGGGCGUUGGUAGUUGAGUUCAACCUCUGUGAUAAGGACAGAGACUUUGCUCUCCGGGGACAGAAGCGCGUGGACCUCAUUUUUGAUAUACGGAACAGUGGAAAGCGCAUACGAUCUGAAAAUGUUAUGAAUACAGUGGGGCUACUUUAGUGUGUGCGGAUCCCAAGACGCCUGCAUGGUCAGGAUUCCGAUAAGCGUCGGCGCCGAGUGCUACUAUGCAAUUUCAAUAGGUCGCCGCUUUAAAAUGAGAAUAGUAAACUAAAUGUCGAAUUUUGAGACUCUUUUCUCCUCUAAAAUCCAAGUGGUGUCCAAGUAGUGGCAAACUGGGACGAAAUAGAUUUAAGAACGUUUUCCUUCACCAAAAAUCUCACGUAUGUAGACAGUUCAUGAAUGUUUGUUGACAAAAUAUAUCAGAUUUGCUAGAUUUGUCACUAUUUUUUUACUGUUUAUGAGGGAGCAUUUGAGUUUGCGAGUAGAAAUUCCAUGUCCCUUCAUGGUUAGUUUCAAUUCAAAAGACUAAUUGAGACGACGAAAUUAACAUAAGCUUUCUUAAACUGCCAGAGAUGACAAUUAGUAGGUUUUCUUAGUUUAUGGAAAGAUAUUGAGAAAUUUGAAUGGUGAUGUCGGCGAAGUCUCGUGGCUCCCGCAAGAUUCCCGGCAGUGGCGAACACACGCUGGUGGGCACCAAGUGGCCACGGGCGGCAGGUGGAGCGUCCGAAGAAGGGGGACGGCCCUCCUCGCCGUUGGCCUCGUCCGGGCUACCUUUCUUCCCGCACAACGGCGAUGACCCUGGCUCUGUUUUCACCUUCUUUGCCGAUGCCGACGCUUGCCGGGCCAUCUUCUCCGCCAGCAUGGUUUUCAUCAUGUCGUAGACGGAGGGAUCCAUCCCUUUGGAAUCGGUAGCAGCAGGAGUAUAAGAAGGCGGUGGCUGUGGUGACAGCGACUCCGGCACCGGAGAUAUCAUGGCGGCGGAAAGAUUGCUGCUGCAGAGAUACGCCCCCAGAUCAACGGGGGAGCCUCCGUGAGCGCGCAGCAGCUUCGCGGCCAAUUUCUUGUCCUCGGCAGAGAGCACGGGGUCCAUGAGCGAAAUCUUGGACGGCUCGCCCCACUCCACAGAGCAAGGCCAAGGCGCCGGCGACGAGAGGAAGAAGAACGCGUGCUUCCAAUCCUUGAUCUCAUGCGGCAAACCCGUGAAGCGCAGGCCGGAGGUGUCUUUAGAUCGGAAAUAGUACCAGCCUCUGCGCUUAAGGUUGAGGACGACCAGCCGGAAGAAAUGGCGAAAAACGGCCAGCAGCGGCAGCGACACGCCGGCGAGGUGGCAGAGCACCACGAAGCCCGCCAUGGUGCGCCAGCCGUUGGGCGCGAGCUGCGUCGGGGCGAGGCCGAAGUGGGCGAGCACCUCGCGGAAGAAGGGGUGCAGCGGGACCCGCAACCCGGCCUCCAGCGCGCCCACGUACACGCAGACGGCGCCCGGCGGCGGGGACGAGCUCGCGCGCAGGUCGCCGGCGGGGCGCGCGGCGUAGCGAUCCUUGGGGACGCCGUAUUUCUCGCACACCGCGUCGACCUCGUCCUGCGUGCACAGAAACGAGACGUAGUCCUCCGCGUCGGCGCGCCUCGGGGGGACGACGGCAGCGGCACUUAUCCCAUGUAAUCAUUCUUUUAUCUAUAGCCAUCGGACAACUUUAUGAAGCAAUGCUGCAGCAGAGUACUAUGCUAGGUGGAUGCACUAUAUUCCUACUAGUUCUCUCUCCGACACACUAGUAUAUGGAUUUUAUUUUCAAUCUUAUAAACUUUAAACAAAUAUAUUUUUAAAAUAAAUAUAGGAUGAAUAAUCUGUAUGAAUGUGUGUCUUUCUUUCAAUGAUAUGUCCGAAACAAAUUCAAUAUUUAAUAUUUUUGCCAGUUUUGAAUUUUGAGUUUUUGAAACACAGUGAAACAUGUGCAAAAAUAGAUUAUUACAUGAUGAUGGUUUUCACGUGGAUAUGUAACUACGUUUGUUUUCUUGCACACAAUAGUAAGUUUAAUAACAAUGAAAAAUAACGUCUACAAAUUGGCAUAAAACAAGGCUAACAAUCAUUGUUUUUAUUGUUUCAUCAACUUUUAAAAUUCAUAUUUUAAAAAAAGAUCUCAUCGCCAGGAACGGAAAUAUGUAAGAUCAUAAAUAAACAAAAUUAUUUAAAUAUGAGACUGAACUUAAAAUGCAUCAGUGGAUUGAGGAGAGAGAGGGAGAAUCUAGGGGGGCUGUAGGGGAUAGGAUGGAGUAGGUGUGCUCGCUGUCAUAAUAUAGGUUAUGUUGUUCCAUGCACGGGAUCUCCCGUGCAUGGUAGAAAAACCAGUCUCAACUCUAAACAGAUAGUUCUGAUUUUUUUGCAUGCAGAAGAAAGAGAUAGAGUGCAUGCGGAGAAACAAACCUGCCCAACUGGGCCGUGCCCGUUAGCACGAGCGCUACGGGCUCUUUGGAGCCCCAGGAGCAAGGAGCCGAGCUUGAAAGCGAGUUCGAGGGGGGGCGCGAUGGUGAGACGAGCUAGAGGGGGGAACAUGAGCACAGGGGAAGAGAGGAGGCGUAGGGGCUCACCGCGAGGCACACGUAGGCCUGGCGAGCGCUUAGUAGCUGCAGUGUCGCGACAAUCGAUGGUGAACGACGGCGGCGACCCGAGGAAGAAAAGGAAGCGGGCGGCGGUCUUGGAGGUCCUCGGCGUUGCCACGAUGGUGUAGACAGGGCCGCGGAGCACGACGGUUCUUCAGGGCAGGGUCCCAGGCGACACCUAGCACGGUGGGUGCGCGGGCAAGCUUGGCCAUGGCGACGGGUGUGUCGGAUCCGGCGGAUCUGGCGAGGCAGAGAGGGGCAAGAACUUGCACCAUUAUCAGAGUUGUAAGUUAAGCCACUGCCACGAAAAGUUUGGGGUUUAAAUAAAAUAGUUUAUAUUUAUUAUAAAAAAUCAUUUAAAUUAUUGUUUUGGCCCUUGUUCUAUUUAUUUUAGGGCAUUUAAACACUUUAUAAAAUGUCGGUUCCACCAUGGAAUUUAUCCAGUGAUUAUUUGCAACACUUUUAACAUUUUUUUCAUGUUUAUGAAUUUCUUUAUUUCACUUAUAAUUUGAAUUUGAAAACAAGUGGGAUUUGAAAUGAGAUUUGGAUCAAAAGGAGAUCAAGCAUGUGAUGGCCUGGCUUAUUAGGGAUGAUAGACUACUCAUAUCAAUAAGGAAUUCCUUUUUUUCCGGAGACUAUCGGACAGAACUCUAAAGUUAAGCGUGCUUAGUUUGGAGUAGUGUCAGGAUGGGUGAUCGACCGGGAAGUUGCUCCCGAGUGCGCAUGAGUGAGGACAAAGUGCGCAGAAAAGAUUAGUAUUGAUCUGUGGGGCCAGUCUAGAUCCCGCCAGGAGUAGCGACCAUCGGCGGAUGUGUCCGGGGCGUUACAAGUUGGUAUCAGAGCCGACCCUCGCGGUUACACGGAUGGUUGCGGACAGGUGCGUGGUCAUGUUGUUCAUGACGUUUGUGACCCGUCGUGGCACACGGCAUGGCAUAUGUACUGGACUGGAAGCACAGACGUAUGUGCCAAGAAGGAACGUUCCUGUGGCCCGACGAGGGCGUCGGUUACUCUGAGUGGGGGUGUAUGUGACGGCCUGGCUUAUUAGGGAUGAUAGACUACUCAUAUCAAUAAGGAAUUCCUUCUUUUCCGGGAGCCCAUCGGACAUAACUCCAAAGUUAAGCGUGCUCAGCUUGGAGUAGUGUCGGGAUAGGUGACCGACCGGAAAAUUGCUUACGGGUGCGCAUGAGAGAGGACAAAGUGCACAGAAAAGACAAGUAUUAAUCUGUGGGGCCAGUCUAGAUCCCGCCAGGAGUAACGACCACCGGCGGGUGUGUCCGGGACAUUACAAAGCACUAUUGAGCAAAUGACUUAGAUUAAUCAUGCAGGGUUACUGUAGCUCAUUACACCAUGAGUGUUACACAAUCUACGCACAGCGGAAAGGUAGACGCAAACGUAACCGCGGGGUAGUGGAGUACGCUUCCGUGCUCCUUUCAUAGCAUUGUCACGAAGAACAUCUCACGGGUUUCUCUCUCUACCUUCGAGUACAAGCGCGCUAACUACGGUUCGAUACACCGCAACAUGCUAUUUAGGUUAGAUAUAUCUAUGAGGAGUUAACUACAAUGUGAUGCACCACAACUGUGGCGAAACCAAUGUACAAACGUUGUGUUCAAGUGAUCCCAACGAAUUUUCUCGGCCAGCUAGAUAUACAUAUAGGUAUGUGUUUGCUUGACUUGAAACCAAUCAAAAGCCUAGGAUGACCCCACCGAACAAUGCGAUGCGGACAACUAGACAAAAAGGCCCAAAAGCCCACAAUCAAAUGACUAUGUAUAUGCCUAAAUGAUGACUUGAUUAGUCACAUAUGUUUUUUUUUGCGUAUUGUGCAAUACCGCACAAUCCGUCGCUAUCUUACCCAUUUUGGUGUGCUCUUGUUGGGGCACGUCACAUAUGUUGUUGUACAGGCACAGCAGCGGCAUGCCACAUAUGCCUCGUCUCUUGAUAGUUGGUAUUUCCAACUUGCAUCUCUCUCAUGUUUGUGUAUAGCUCGGCUGACAAAGGCCAAGGGUUAGCAAAUAGUCGCAUAUUCACAACGGCAAGCCGAUAAUUGUAGCCUAAAAUUUGAUAACUAAUAUUGCCACAUGUCCUUGUUAUGCAUGUUCUAUCCAGCCUAAUAACCUAGUGUGAUAAUGAAUAAUUGUUUGCCUAUUUUUUUAGUUGUCUUUUCAUGAACUUUGAUUGAUCUAUGCUAUGGAAUGUAUUAUUAAAAGAGAAAUUGGACACCGGAUCUUGUAAUGACGCAGGCACGUCAAGGUUACCCAUUAGAAGUAGGCAAACUGUAUCAAAUGUCAUUGCAGCUAGUCUUCAAGCUCGGUGUGCUUGGGGAUUUUCUCGGGCCCUGGUGGUAGCCCGUUAAAUCCUACCGCCGCCAUGUAGGACAGUAGUGAAAAGGCCAUUUCCGGGGCAAAAGUUUUGAAUCAAGGUUAAAUGGUUUAGCACUUGGACCAGAAGUUCAAAAUAGUGAUCUUGAUGAAAAAGGUCAAACCCUCGGUUCAAAACAGACUUAUCCCGACUGGGCAGCGCGCGGGCCUCGUCUCCUUCCUUCACACGCGCGGAGCUGCUCCGUCGUGAAGUCCUGUCAGCAAUGUUGGGUGCUCUAGUUAUCCUUUAAUUUUUUCUGUUCUCACAUGACUCGUUCCAAUCCCAAAGAGAAUGGGCAGCAAAUCUUUUGCUUCGUUUGCAGACAUAUCACACGCACCACAGUUGCACUGGAUGUCUGCAGAAAAUCUUCCUGCAUACACACAUGCCUACGAGCCCCAUAUGCUACACGCAGAAAAGAUACACCAGUAGAGAGCAAGAAGUAAAUGCGAGGCACGUGUUGGACACAAUACAUAAUUUGUCAUUAAUUUAAUUCCUUUACCUAGUACGUACAAGAGCAGGUUAAACAGGCAAAUGGUUUUCUUCAUAAGCAUGCAGUAUAGAUUCACAAAGGAGCAGAUUGAUAGCACCCAUCCUUGUAUAAUUAGCAUGCAAAGGAAAACAUCACGAAACCAGCGAGAACCAUCUACAAUACUAGUGACGGCAGAGUAGCAAUACAGACAAAUUAACAUAAAGAUACUGAAUCUACCGAACACACACGACAUGGCUGAAAACACUAGCAGCAGGAACAAAAAGACAGUCUAAAGCACUAGAUAAACCUGAUGGAGAAUCGGCUAGAGCAUGGACAUAUUUAUCUUGUACUAGUAAUGAUCAAAUGCAACUUACAGUCUAGACGUCGGUGCACUUGGUGUUCGUGGAUGGAGUUUGUCGGAGACGAUCUCGUAGAGGAAGCAGCGGUGGCGGAGACGAUGUCGACGAGGACGUCGAGGAAGCAGUGGUCGCCGGAGACGAUGUUGUCGAGGACGUCGACGAAGCAGCCCUCGCCGAAGAUGAUGAUGUCGAGGACGUCGAAGGAGCGGUCGCGCGGACGCUGCCCAGAAAACUCUAGACCGCCCCCAUGCAGGGUCGAAGAAUGCGGCCGGAGUCACGGAGACACCGCUCGCCGGGCUGCCGUUGCACGACGGACAGCACGGCCGGCUUCGUUCCGACGGCGCUCAGCACUUGUGAUAUGUGAGGAAGGGGAUGAAGAUGUGUUGUCUAUUUCUCCCGAUGCUCUCUACCAUUUAUAGAGAUCAGGAAGGAAGCAGUCCAACGAGCAACGUUUCAAUGAAACGUCUUGCCGAGCGAAGCGCGGUGCACUCGUUGGAACCAGGAGAAUCGGGAGGAACAACAGGAUAAUGCUCAUGUCCUAGCAGAGGACUCGGGAAGGAGUUGCAGCUUGCCAAACGGCCAGCAACGUGUGUGCAUGAAGUUUCAGUUUGUUACGUGACAGGAUAUGCCCAAAGCAUCAGACUUGGAAUUCUCUGAACCGAUGCAUUAUUUCCAACAGUCCCCACCAAUUCCAAUGUCAGGUGCCAGAGCUAGAAGAAAUAGAGAUCAUACCACAAUGCUGUUUAUAUAUUAACUUUUCGACGAUAGUCCCUUUUCGGGUUGAACUAACGUCUAGAACUUGAAGUUUCACUCACUCGCAGCUAGACAAUGGACGAGACCUUGAAUUGCUAGCUUUCUGCGACUAAGUUUCCCUUCAAGACUUUGCUAAUACUGGGCCGCCAAGAACUAGGCCUCUGGUUAGAGCUUUAACGGUCAUGCUCCUGUGUCUAUUCGUGAGCUUUAUAGAGAGUUCCCAAGUCUCAUAGACUACGACCUCAUAGUCAGGCUCAUAUAGGUGUGCCUUUUCGAGUGUACCCCGUAGGACAGUACCUCGCCUUUGUAAAGGACCUCAAAGCACAUUAAGACGUAAGUCAUCCUACCAUACAGUAUGAGAGUACCGUAUCUCCAACGGGAAUGGGUUUUAGAAUUGCACUCUCCAAUUACACCGACAACUUGUUUUUCCCAUUACCUACUUCACGGGAUCUCCGAUCACAUAGGAUGGGUUACCGCUGCAGUGUAACUCACAUGGGUCUCAUUCCCAUUUCCCUUGAUGCAUUUUCAAUCAUGUUUCGUGAUAAACCCUUAGUAAAGGGACCUGCCAGAUUUUUCGAGGUGUGGACAUAGUCCACAACGAUUACUCCGGAGUUUCUUAAUUUUCUGACGGAUUUCAGGCGUCGUUUCACAUGCCUUCUGGAUUUCAUAUUGUCCUUUGUACUUUUAACCUUUGUGGGAACUGUUUGGUUAUCACAGUACAUGAGGAAAGCCGGAAUAGGCUUCUCGCCUACUGGUAAAUCCAUUAAGAGCUCACGUAGCCACUCCGCCUCAACAGUGGCCGUGUCAAGUGCUACUAAUUCUGCCUCCAUGGUUGAUCUUGUUAUAAUAGUUUGUUUACAAGAUCUCCAUGAGACAGCAGCACCACCAAGGGUGAAUAAAUAUCCACUUGUGGCUUUGAUCUCAUCCGCGUCUGAGAUCCAGUUAGAGUCACUAUACCCUUCAAGUACCGCUGGGUACCCAGUAUAGUGAAUCCCAUAAGACAUGGUUCCCUUCAAGUAUCUCAAUACACGCUCAAGUGUUGUCCAAUGAUCAUUUCCCGAUUAGAAGUAAACCGGCUUAAUUUACUAACAGCAUAUGAGAUAUCGGGUCUAGUGGCACUAGCCAGAUACAUAAGAGAUCCUAUAAUUUGGGAGUAUCUCAAUUGAUCCUUCCCUUGUCCAUCAUGCUUUCUAAGCUUUAGACUAGGGUCAUAAGGUGUGGGAGCCUCUUUGCAAUCCAUAAACCCAAAGCGGGUUAGGACUUUAUGUUGAAAAUAUGCCCUAGAGGCAAUAAUAAAUUGAUUAUUAUUAUAUUUCCUUGUUCAUGAUAAUCGUUUAUUAUCCAUGCUAGAAUUGUAUUGAUAGGAAACUCAGAUACAUGUGUGGAUACAUAGACAACACCAUGUCCCUAGUAAGCCUCUAGUUGACUAGCUCGUUGAUCAAUAGAUGGUUACGGUUUCCUGACCAUGGACAUUGGAUGUCAUUGAUAACGGGAUCACAUCAUUAGGAGAAUGAUGUGAUGGACAAGACCCAAUCCUAAGCCUAGCACAAGAUCAUGUAGUUCGUAUGCUAAAGUUUUUCUAAUGUCAAGUAUCAUUUCCUUAGACCACGAGAUUGUGCAACUCCCGGAUACCGUAGGAGUGCUUUGGGUGUGCCAAACGUCACAACGUAACUGGGUGGCUAUAAAGGUACACUACGGGUAUCUCUGAAAGUGUCUGUUGGGUUGGCACGAAUCGAGAUUGGGAUUUUGUCACUCCGUGUAAACGGAGAGGUAUCUCUGGGCCCACUCGGUAGGACAUCAUCAUAAUGUGCACAAUGUGACCAAGGGGUUGAUCACGGGAUGAUGUGUUACGGAACGAGUAAAGAGACUUGCCGGUAACGAGAUUGAACAAGGUAUUGGUAUACCGACGAUCGAAUCUCGGGCAAGUACCAUACCGCUAGACAAAGGGAAUUGUAUACGGGAUUGAUUGAGUCCUUGACAUCGUGGUUCAUCCGAUGAGAUCAUCGUGGAACAUGUGGGAGCCAAGAUGGGUAUCCAGAUCCCGCUGUUGGUUAUUGACCGGAGAACGUCUCGGUCAUGUCUGCAUAUCUCCCGAACCCGUAGGGUCUACACACUUAAGGUUCGAUGACGCUAGGGUUAUAAAGGAAGCUUGUAUGUGGUUACCGAAUGUUGUUCGGAGUCCCGGAUGAGAUCCCGAACGUCACGAGGAGUUCCGGAAUGGUCCGGAGGUAAAGAUUUAUAUAUAGGAAGUCCUGUUUCGGCCAUCGGGACAAGUUUCGGGGUCAUCGGUAUUGUACCGGGACCACCGAAAGGGUCCCGGGGGCCCACCGGGUGGGGCCACCUGCCCCGGGGGGCCACAUGGGCUGUAGGGGGUGCGCCUUGGCCUACAUGGGCCAAGGGCACCAGCCCCUAGAGGCCCAUGCGCCAAGAUAUAGGAAAAAGGGAAGAGUCCUCAAGGGGGAAGGCACCUCCGAGGUGCCUUGGGGAGGAUGGACUCCUCCCCCCNNNNNNNNNNNNNNNNNNNNNNNNNNNNNNNNNNNNNNNNNNNNNNNNNNNNNNNNNNNNNNNNNNNNNNNNNNNNNNNNNNNNNNNNNNNNNNNNNNNNNNNNNNNNNNNNNNNNNNNNNNNNNNNNNNNNNNNNNNNNNNNNNNNNNNNNNNNNNNNNNNNNNNNNNNNNNNNNNNNNNNNNNNNNNNNNNNNNNNNNNNNNNNNGCGCCUCCCCCCUCUCCCCUGCCCCUAUAUAUAGUGGAGGGGAGGGAGGGCAUCCAUACCUGAGCCCUUGGCGCCUCCCUCCCUCCCGUGACACCUCCUCCUCUCCCGUAGGUGCUUGGCGAAGCCCUGCAGGAUUGCCACGCUCCUCCAUCACCACCACGCCGUUGUGCUGCUGCUGGAUGGAGUCUUCCUCAACCUCUCCCACUCUCCUUACUGGAUCAAGGCGUGGGAGACAUCGUCGAGUUGUACGUGUGUUGAACGCGGAGGUGCCGUCCGUUCGGCACUAGGAUCAUCGGUGAUCUGAAUCACGACGAGUACGACUCCAUCAACCCCGUUCACUUGAACGCUUCCGCUUAGCGAUCUACAAGGGUAUGUAGAUGCACUCUCCUUUCUACUCGUUGCUGGUCUCUCCAUAGAUAGAUCUUGGUGAUACGUAGGAAAUUUUUUGAAUUUCUGCUACGUUCCCCAACACUUUAUCCACAUAAUGAGACUGCGUAAGAGCAAUCCCAUUCUCACCCUUGAUCAAUUUAAUGUUUAGAAUUACAUCAGCCUCUCCCAAAUCCUUCAUGUCAAAACACUGGGAUAAAAAUGACUUUAAGUCUUUUACAACAGCAAUGCUUGUUCCAAAGAUGAGUAUAUCAUCAACAUACAAGCAUAAAAUCACACCCUCACCCCCACCAAAUCUGUAGUAAACACAUUUAUCGGCUUCAUUUACAACAAAGCCUGUGGAUGUAAAGGUUUUUUCAAACUUCUCGUGCCAUUGCUUUGGCGCUUGCUUGAGGCCAUACAAAGAUUUCAUCAACUUACACACCUUGCCUUCUUGUCCGGGUACUACAAAACCAUCGGGCUGCUCCAUAUAGAUCUCCUCAUCUAGCUCGCCAUUAAGGAAAGCCGUCUUCACAUCCAUUUGAUGAACGUGGAAACCAUAUGAGGCAGCCAAUGACAACAGCACCCGGAUAGUGGUUAAUCUCGCAACGGGUGAGUAAGUGUCAAAGAAAUCCUCGCCUUCUUUUUGGGUAUACCCCUUUGCCACAAGCCUUGCCUUGUACUUUUCAAUAGUACCGUCGGGCCUAAGCUUUUUCUUAAAGAUCCAUUUACAUCCAAUUGGUUUGCAACCAAAUGGACGGUCAGUGAUCUCCCAAGUCCCAUUUGCAAUGAUGGAAUCCAUCUCGCUAUGGACUGCAUCCUUCCAGUACUCUGCAUCAGAAGAUGCAUAUGCCUCUGAAAUGGACUUUGGCACAUCAUCCACGAGAUACACAAUGAAGUCAUCACCAAAGGAUUUUUCAAUCCUUGGUCUCUUACUCCUUCGUGGAGCCACUUCACUAUCAUUCUCCACAUGCGUGUGUUCACAAUUUUCAUGAGUGGGUAGUUCCAGAGUUGGAUUAAAGUUUGCUUGACUAGAUGAUGCUCCUGUAUUCAUCAUGGGAAAUAUGUCCUCGAAAAAUGUAGCAUCUUUAGAUUCUGUCACCAUGUUUACCGGCACAUCCGGUACAUCGGAUCUAACUACUAAAAAUCUAUAAGCAACACUAUUAUGUGCAUAACCAAGAAAGACACAAUCAACCGUCUUAGGUCCGAGUUUGCGUUUCUUGGUUAUCGGUAUAUUGACUUUCGCCAAGCAUCCCCAAGCGCGCAAAUACGAGAGAUUAGGUUUCCUUUUUCCCCAUCCUUCAUAUGGAGUCACCUCACUAUUUUUAGUGGGAACCCGGUUAAGGAUAUGACAAGCGGUCAAGACAGCCUCACCCCACCAUGCCUUAGACAUACCUGCACUAUUUAACAUGGCAUUCACCAAGUCCGUUAGAGUGCGGUUCUUUCUUUCGGCAACCCCGUUUGAUUGGGGCGUGUAGGGCGGUGUCACUUCAUGGAUUAUUCCAUGCUCCGCACAAAAUUGGGAAAAUUCACUUGAAACAUAUUCUCCACCUCGAUCGGACCUUAGACGUUUAAUUCUUCCAUUUAAUUGGUUCUCGACCUCUGCCUUGUAGAUUUUAAAAUAGUUCAAUGCUUCAUCUUUAGUUUUAAGUAAGUACAGGUAGCAAAAUCUAGUUGCGUCAUCAAUAAAAGAUAAAAAGUAUCUUUUCCCUGCCUUAGUCAGCACUCCACCCAUCUCACAGAGAUCGGAAUGAACUAGUUCUAGUGGUGCCGUACUUCUUUCCUCGACCGCCAAAAAAGGCUUCCGAGGUUGCUUUGCUUGCACACAUAUCUGGCACCUAGAACCUCUGACUACGGAAAAUUUAGGAAUUAAAUUCAGGUUGCUCAUGCGGGAAAUACUACCAAGAUUAACAUGACAUAAUCUGGAAUGCCAAAUGGAUGCAUCUUUAUUUGAAUUAAGAACACUAAUAGUGUUGUGAACAAAUUUAUUCUCAGCAUCCAACAAAGAUGUGCGGAACAAGCCUCCACACUCAUAGCCUUUCCCUAUAAAUAAACCAAAUUUGGAAAUAACAACUUUAUUCGACUCAAAAACUAAUUUGAAGCCAUCUCGGCAUAAAAGAGAGCCACUAAUCAGGUUCCUAUUUAUUGAGGGCACGUACUGCACAUUCUUUAAGGUAAUGAUUUUUCCUGAUGUAAACUUCAGGUCAACCUUCCCUACUCCCAGAACAGCAGCACCUGAGCCAUUUCCCAUCAAGAUGGGGGAACCGCUUGUAGCCUGACAAGAGGAAAAUAAAUUAAGGUCAGCACAUACAUGAAUGUUAGCUCCCGUGUCAACCAGCCAUUCAGCGGAUUGACACGCCAUUAAAACAGCAGGGUUCGAAUCAUACCCCGCAGUACUAGGCUCGCUAACAACCACGUUGACAGUGUUCUAUCUGUUCUGCUGCCCACCCUUCUUGCCCUUCCUGUUGUGGCAUUUAUUGGCCUUGUGGCCAGGCUCACCACACACAUAGCAGAUUAUGCCUUCCUUCUUCUUCUUAAAGUUGGUUGUAUUCUUGGCCUUUGGAUUCUGUUGUUUGCCCUUGUACUUAGCACCAGAUUUCUGCACAAAGUUGGCGUUUGAGGUGCCAUCAUUUGCCAUGAAAGGUGUGUCUUUAGCACGUGCCUUCUCUUCCACAUCAAGGUGAGCAAUCAGGUCAUCAACCCUCAUUGCCUCCCUCUUGUGCUUAAGCAUGGUGGCAAAAUCUCUCCAUGAAGGAGGGAGUUUGGCAAUGAUGCCCCCACCACAAACUUGGCAUUGACGUUCACAUCAAACUGAGCCAACUCACUCACAAUCGAUGUAAGAUCAUGAGCUUGCUUGACGACGGAGACGCCGUCCACCAUGCGGAAAUCGUGGUACUGUUCAACCACAUAAAUCCAUCGCCCUGCAUCAGAGACCGCGUACUUGCGAUCCAGCGCCUCCCAAAGCUCUAUUGCAGAGGUGUACCCAUGGUAUACAUCAUAGAGCUGGUUCUCAAGGAGCGACAAGAUGACAGCCACAACAGUGUCGUUUGCUAACUCAAAGUCCAUUACCUGCUGACGAGUCAGCGGCCUAACCUGUGGGAUAAUCCACCACAGGCCCUUGGACAGGAGGUAGUGACGCACCUUGGACUGCCAUCUCUUGAAGUUGUCACCGGCAAACUUUUCAGGUUUCAUCAGUUCCGCAACAUGAGCAUCCAUGACAAAUCGGUCUAGAGUUUUCUGGAUUGUUGGACACAAUACAUAAUUUGUCAUUAAUUUAAUUCCUUUACCUGGUACGUACAAGAGCAGGUUAAACAGGCAAAUGGUUUUCUUCAUAAGCAUGCAGUAUAGAUUCACAAAGGAGCAGAUUGAUAGCACCCAUCCUUGUAUAAUUAGCAUGCAAAGGAAAACAUCACGAAACCAGCGAGAACCAUCUACAAUACUAGUGACGGCAGAGUAGCAAUACAGACAAAUUAACAUAAAGAUACUGAAUCUACCGAACACACACGACAUGGCUGAAAACACUAGCAGCAGGAACAAAAAGACAGUCUAAAGCACUAGAUAAACCUGAUGGAGAAUCGGCUAGAGCAUGGACAGAUUUAUCUUGUACUAGUAAUGAUCAAAUGCAACUUACAGUCUAGACGUCGGUGCACUUGGUGUUCGUGGAUGGAGUUUGUCGGAGACGAUCUCGUAGAGGAAGCAGCGGUGGCGGAGACGAUGUCGACGAGGACGUCGAGGAAGCAGUGGUCGCCGGAGACGAUGUUGUCGAGGACGUCGACGAAGCAGCCCUCGCCGGAGAUGAUGAUGUCGAGGACGUCGAAGGAGCGGUCGCGCGGACGCUGCCCAGAAAACUCUAGACCGCCCCCGUGCAGGGUCGAAGAAUGCGGCCGGAGUCACGGAGACACCGCUCGCCGGGCUGCCGUUGCACGACGGACAGCACGGCCGGCUUCGUUCCGACGGCGGCUCAGCACUUGUGAUAUGUGAGGAAGGAGAUGAAGAUGUGUUGUCUAUUUCUCCCGAUGCUCUCUACUAUUUAUAGAGAUCAGGAAGGAAGCAGUCCAACGAGCAACGUUUCAAUGAAACGUCUUGCCGAGCGAAGCGCGGUGCACUCGUUGGAACCAGGAGAAUCGGGAGGAACAGCAGGAUAAUGCUCACGUUCUAGCAGAGGACUCGGGAAGGAGUUGCAGCUUGCCGAACGGCCAGCAACGUGUGUGCAUGAAGUUUCAGUUUGUUACGUGACAGGAUAUGCCCAAAGCAUCAGACUUGGAAUUCUCUGAACCGAUGCAUUAUUUCCAACAGCACGCCCCUGCAGCGUGGCUGGACUUGAGCAAUUGCCCGAGGAUCAUGCGCCAUGGCCAGUCUUUUGGCCUGCCGCGGGGUGAAGAGGAGCAGAGGCACGUAGUUCCCAUUCCUUUUAUCCAUGCAUGUAGACGUAGGAGAAGACGGAGAGAAGAGCAGCGGCGUUUUUUGGCUGCACACUUUCAUCUUUCCUCUCCUCUGGCCGGCGAAGCAUUCCUUUUCUUUUGCGCAUAUGGCUCGUCUGUCUUCCUUCCCACAGACAAGUCGAUCAGCAGCAACUUGUUUUCGAUAGUCCCUAGGGUAGAGGAUAGACCGGUGGCACCUCGGACACGACCUUGCACGCACAUCACGUACCACUAUCACUGUUGGGCGCACAAUCGACGGGCAUGGGCAGACGCCUACAUCCACAUGCAUACAAGCGCGUGCACAUACGCAGUUGCUUGAAUCAACCAGCAGACAUGGACACAUGGCUACGAGCACGAGAUUGGCUACAGCCUACGGCCAGAGGUCUUGAUAAGUCAGGUGCAAAAAAGGUCAAAGCCAGUAAAUGUGACGCAUGCCGCUGCAGCAGGGCUGGACCAAGGCGAGUGGGCAGCCUUCGAGACGAAGAUAUUGCUAGCAAUAGCAUUGCCGUCCUUGGACCCGCGGUCGUCGGCUGGACACUUCCGAGACUGAGCAUCAUGUGCCAUUGGCCAGGCUUUCGUCCGUCCAUGACGUUUGGACGGCGGGGCCAUUAUUCAGGCUCCGGAACUGCUCCCCACCUCACCAUUGUCUCUGCUCUCAGAAGUUCAUGUCUCGUGUGUCUCCGCUUCCUCACCGACCCCCUCUAUUCCUUCAACGCUCAGCACUGCCAACCAACACGCUGCAUGGAUCGAAGGGGAAUUUCUGGUGAGCUCCUAUAUUUUAAAUCGAUUUAAAUGCUCCAAAAAUAUCUUAUUGUUUCUUGAUUUUCAUAAAAGAUGUGUCUUUCAUCCUAACACUUGUAUCCAAAUUUGAAUUACAUGUCAAGAAAAACAAGAGCCAAAUCCAAAUGUUAGUAGUGUCGUUUUUUAGAACGGAGACGCGAGAAGCAUCCGACUUUAAAUUAAUAAAGUCCAUCAACAGACAUCAUUCAAGUUUGAGACACACUUAACAAAGCGCACACACGGCCGAGCCCCAAGUCAUAAUACAUGCAACCAGCAAAAGCCUGAAAUAAAAGUUUGAUAGUCUAAACAGCCAUCGAGAAGGAGUCCAGCUCCCGCAAAACAACCAUGGGGAUCAAUGUCGAGCAGCAAUCUGAAUGGCCAGGAUCUUCUCCAUGGCUUCUUCCAUCCGCUCAGUGUCCCGCCGUUUCCCCAACGGCAUCUAGGUCUGGAGGAACAAAUGGGAUUUGAAAAUAAUGUCAGCAGGAUGGGAAGGCAACUUGUGUUCAAUAGUAAUCUUCUUACGCAUGGUUCACAGAGACCACAACGGCGCCCCUACGCAACGCCAAAGGAUCCUUGCGAAACCACCCUCGUGGACGACGCCCAAUCAUUCUACCAUGUGAGCAUCUCCGAGAGACUGAGCCGGCUCAUCAUUUAAGAUUAACAAGUCGUCACGAACGUCUUUACGAUCGACGCGAAUGUCUCCUAGUAAAUGUACAUCGUCGAAAGAUCAAAAAUGAAUCCAAAAAAAAUACAAAAUCAGUGUCAAGUCUAAGAACUCAACUAUAAUAGACUAAGGAGUAAGGACAGCCUCCUAACCAUCUAACUACAUGUUGGUUCACAAUAUUUAAUUUUUUUGACAGUGCAAGCACAUGGAAUUCUCCUUUUCUUUCUCCAUGUGUGAAAUGAAUUUUGAUCUGAAGCUUGUAGGGGUCGCAGACGGAUGUCUUACGGCAUCCAUGAAAUGUUUCAAAAUUUCUGAAAUAUUUAAUUUGAUUUUUUAAUUCGGGAGGAUGGUGAUAAAUGAGAGCAUUGGAUACUCUCACCCUCUCAUGGAUCAGGACCAACACAUAAUUUACAUGUACGCCCGCACACAAGUCACAUGAAGCACCCAACACAAAUAGUACUUCCUCAAUUCCAAAUUACUCGUCGCAGAAAUGGAUGUAUCUAGAACUAAAAUACAUCUAGAUACAUCCAUACCUGCGACAAGUAAUUCGAAACGGAGGGAGUACAAUGGAGGAAAUACAAUGGAUGAUNNNNNNNNNNNNNNNNNNNNNNNNNNNNNNNNNNNNNNNNNNNNNNNNNNNNNNNNNNNNNNNNNNNNNNNNNNNNNNNNNNNNNNNNNNNNNNNNNNNNNNNNNNNNNNNNNNNNNNNNNNNNNNNNNNNNNNNNNNNNNNNNNNNNNNNNNNNNNNNNNNNNNNNNNNNNNNNNNNNNNNNNNNNNNNNNNNNNNNNNNNNNNNNNNNNNNNNNNNNNNNNNNNNNNNNNNNNNNNNNNNNNNNNNNNNNNNNNNNNNNNNNNNNNNNNNNNNNNNNNNNNNNNNNNNNNNNNNNNNNNNNNNNNNNNNNNNNNNNNNNNNNNNNNNNNNNNAAGCACACUUCGCUUUCGUAGACGAUACUCAAGGAGUAUUCAAAAACUUUAUGCAUGUGUCAUCCUUUUUAGAAAGGGAAAACAAACAUCCUUCGUCCAAGGAAUACAUAUGUUACUUUGUCCCUUACUCCCUCAUUUGAGUAAAGCAUUUUGGGAAAAUGUCCACGGUUAAAAAAUAAGAUUGUCAAUUGAUGCAUAGACUGACGCUUUAAAAUGAGAGUGGUAAGCUAAAUGUUGAAUUCUUUGUCAAUUGAUGCAUAGACUGACGCUUUAAAAUGAGAGUGGUAAGCUAAAUGUUGAAUUCUGUGACUCUUUUCUCCUCUGAAAAUCCAAGUGGAGUCCAAGUAGUGGCAAACUGGAACGAAAGUGUCAUUCCGCUAGCAAGCUCAAAUGCUCCCUCCUGAAUAGUAAAAUCAAACCAAAUAAUAAUUAUAUUAAAAAUUCUAUGUUUUCUGUCCAAAACAUUGACGAAUUUUCUACAUACAUGCAAAUUUCCGUGAAGAAUUUUUUGGUUGUGCUCUGGAAAACAACCAUUUCUUCAAAAUGCUUGAAAAAAAGUGUUUUUGGAGCAUUGACUUUUUUCCAGAGGAUUUAGGAAUGUCUAUGUAGACAGUUCAUGAAUGUUUGUUGACAAAACAUAUCAGGUGUGCUAUAUUUGUCACUAUUUUUACUGUUUAUAAGGUAGCAUUUGAAUUCGCAAGUAGAAGCUCCAUGUCCCAAACUUGAAUCCUUCUUUUCUUUUCCCUUCAUUGUUAGUGUCAAUUCAAAAGACGAAUUGAGACGGCGGAAUUAUCAUAAGCUUUCUUAAACUGCCAGAGAUGACAAUUGGUAGGUUUUCUUAGUUUAUGGAAAGAUAUUGAGAAAUUUGAAUGGUGAUACCGCUUAAGCACUCCAGAGGUCACUGAAUCUUAGAUAACGAGUCUCGUAUAGCAAGGAAACGGAUCACUCGAUCACAGAGUGGCGAAGCAAGGAAAAGAUCCGCGGUGCGCCCCAUGUCCUCCGUGUCGCUCUCCUGCUACCCUUCCACCGCUCGAAACUCUUCUGGCGCUCAGUGCUCCUGGACUACCUCUGCCGCACCUUCAGCUGCUUCUGCAGCGCGGCGAUCUCCGCGUCCCGCGCCAACAGCUUCUCUUCCAGCUCCAGAGCGUAGUCCAAUGAGAACGACAUGUAAUUCGCCGCCUGCGCGCAAAUAAUGUUAACGGCCGGACUCCAGACAUGAUCCUGAUUCCUGCGAGUGAAGAGCUUGAACUUGACACAGCGUUCUCUGGCAUACCUGGAGAAUCGCUACGUAGCUCGACGCGACGACAUCUGAUGGCUCGUUGGCCGCAAACACACGCUGCUGCGGUGGGGCGACGGCAUCCUGCAACAGCUCCCGUGCAGCCUCCCAAUGUGCUCCGUGUCUGUCGGCGAAGUCUUGUGGCUGCCGCGAGACUCCCGGCAGUGGCGAGCACACGCUGGUGGGCACCGAGUAGCCACGGGCGGCAGGUGGAGCGUCAGAAGAAGGCGGACGACCCUCCUCGUCGUUGGCCUCGUCCAGGCUCCCUUUCUUCCCGCACAACGGCAACGACCCUGGCUCGGUUUUCACCUUCUUUGCCGAUGCCGACGCUUGCCGGGCCAUCUUCUCCGCCAGCAUGGUUUUCAUCAUGUCGUAGACGGCGGAAUCUAUCCCUAAAUAACAAGAGUAAGAGUAAGAUCAGCCGCUGCACGCAACUUGGGGAUGAGGGGGAUUUCAGCGUUUACCUUGAGAGCUGGCACUUGUACGAGCAGUUACAACGGCAGCGGCAAGGUUGCUGCAGUUACAACGGCAGCGGCAAGGUUGCUGUCGCACAAACACGUCCUGAUAUCAACGGCGGCGCCACCGUUAGCACCUAACAGCUUCGCCACGGAUUUCUGCUCCUCGUUUGUAAGCACCGGGUCCUCGAAGGAGCACUUGGACGGCUCGGCCCACUCCACGGGACAGGGCCACGGGGUCGGCGAGGAGAGGAAGAAGAACCCGCGCUUCCAGCCGCAGAUGGAAUCCGGCAACCCCGUGAAGCGCAAGCCGGAGUUGUCCUUGAACCUGGGUUGGAAGUAGUACCAUCUUUUCUUGCGUCUGUGUUGGCGCAGCCCUAGCUAGCCCUCUCUCACAGCUGGACAGAGGUAGAAGAAAGAAGAACGAGUAGGACACAGCAGGAUUUUGCCCGGCGCACGAACGCCGCCGGCCGCACGAACGGCCACUUAGUUUUAUUUCCUGAGCACAAACUCAACUACUAAACACCAUCUGCCGAUACACAGAGGCUAGCGAGCCUUUAUACGUGCGCUCGUACGCACGCCACGCCGCUCUAUACGGCGCUCCCAGUCGCCCACAUCCCACGUCCCACGCCAUACAUGGCCUGCGCUCCCGUCGCGCCCGUACGCGGACGACGCGGCCACCAACAGCCCUGGACGCGUUCUCCUCCGGCUCCAUCGGCAACAAGCUCACACACGCGCACGUACACGUGCUGCUACACACACUCACGCAGCUACGGCCCUGACUAUGCCCGGCUCGUCUGGCACCCGCACGUACGCGCGCCCGACACGCCUUGGCCGAGCCACAGUUUAUUCGUCUAACAGCCUGUGGUUGAGGACGGACAGCACGAAGAAACGCCGGAACACCGCGAGCGACGGCGGCACGCCGGCGGAGCGGCAGAGCACGAGGAAGCCCGCCAUGAUGCGCCACGUGUUGGGCGCGAGCUGCGUCCGCGCGAUGCCGAAGUGGGCGAGCGCCUCGCAGAAGAAGGGGUGCAGCGGGACGCGCAUCCCGGCCUCCAGCGCGUGCGCGUACACGCAGACGCACCCCGGCGGCGGGGGCGAGCACGCGCGCAGAUCGCCGGCGGGGCGCGCGGUGUAGUGGUCCCUCGGGAUGCCGUAUUUCUUGCACACGGCGUCGACGUCGUCCGGCGAGCGCAUGGACGAGACGAAGCCCUCGGCGUCGGGGCGCUUAGGUAGGACGGCGGUAGCGGCGUCAUCGUCGAGGUCAGAGGUGGCGACCUGGUAGUCCGGGUCGGAGGAAGGGGAGGAAGAACUCAUGGGCGCGAGGGUGUUGGUCUCUGUCUUUCAUUGCCUGCUGUUGGAGUACAGCAGAGAUAUGAGCAGGCUGGUGGACUACUUUGAAGGGUCGGUGUAAAGUCGAUUUAAAGGCUGAUAUUGUGAUUACUGGACGAUAUUCACUGCAUCACAAACAAAAAUUGCUCGAUAUUACUGUGCGUACGAUAAUUCGGUGUAUUUUUUUCUGCAUAUGGCACUUUGAUUAUCAUGCAUGGUGCUACGGCGCAUAUGGCAUCUCUGGAAUGAACUCUCUCAUGGAAAAUCUGUAGUGUCAAGUUCUUUUCUGAGCAGCUACUAUAGCACGUUCUGCCAAAUCUCAUCAAGCGUAGAAGAGAUUAUCAAAGGGAAAUCCCAUAUGGUUUUGGAGCAGCAGCGAAACAUUUCUGUCCUUAUGCCAUUGCGUUUGCAACUGGGAAUCGGCCUCCCAUGUCAAAAAUUCCGCCGGUGAUGCCUUAGGAGGCGCUAUUUUUGCUCGAAAAACGCUUUUGCGGAGCCGAACAGCUGAAGAUGCUCUUGGGACACGCUCGGGUCGAUCACGAUGUCGUGUCAUGAUAAAGUCAUGCGCUCUUUAACUUUUGUACACUCGGCAAAGUAUUCCUUUUCUUUUGUUUCGCACAUGACUCGUCGGUCUCUCUUCCCACAGACAGCUCGCACGGGCAGCUUGAUCAGCAACAAAUCUUUUUCCCUUCAACUUGUUCUCUUUUUUUUUCGAAACGGAGGCAAAAGAUUUGCCUCAUCCAUUAAUUAAGAAGAAGUUUAGAGUUGCUUUUACAACAGAAAAGCAAGAUAAGAUACAUAGAUUCUACUCUCGCGGCAUGAUGUUUCCCAAGUGUUUCGCGCCGGCGGCGAUCCAAAGCCUAGCCUCAUUCUUGAUGCUACCAAAGAUGAUGGAUGGUAGCGUCGGUUUUUGUUGGAACACCCUAGCAUUUCGCUCACACCAAAUAGUCCAGCAAGACAACAUGGUGAGGGUUGCCAUUGCCUUCCGAUUUGCCACGUUUUUCUCGGACAUGUUGAUCCACCAAUCCUUGAUGGAGCGCUCUUCAUUCCAGCGAGAAGUGUCCAUGCCGUCUAGCCCAAGCCAGUCCUUGAUCAUGCCCCAAAGUCUCCUAGUGAAACGACACUUGAAGAAGAGGUGAUCCACCGUUUCAUUAGUCUGCUUGCAAAGAGGACAUAAACCACAAUUUGGCCAAGCUCGCUUCUGGAGCCUAUCCGCCGUCCAAAGUCGGUUUUGAGUUGCAAGCCAUGCAAAAAAUUUGACUUUUGGGGGCGCCCAGACCUUUCAGAUCGUCUGCCCCGUGGGUGAUCGCGUGGCGCCAAGGAAUUGAGCCUUAUAUGCCGAGGUCACGGAGUGGUGACCACUUGUCGUAUGCUUCCAUAUAAUGUCAUCUUCGAUUCCGUCCACAAGGUGAAUAUACCGAGAGCGAGCCCAAAGAGUCACAAUUUGUGUAAUGUGCUCCAUUGUCCAGUCCAUGGGUAACCUAAUUUUUUCAAGCCAAGCAUCGCCAUGCAUGGCCUCUCGGACCUUCCACUUUUUUCUCGAGGAGAUAUCCAAAAUGAGCGGUGCCAAGUCCAAGGGCGCCACCCCAUUGAUCCAAGGUGAAUCCCAGAAAGGUGCACGGGCCCCAUUGCCAAUGAUGAUGUGUGAAGACGCGUAGAAGAGAGCCCGGUCCAUCUUGUCGCAAGGGUUGUCAAGGCCAACCCACAUCUUAGUUGGGUCCUUCCAUUCGAACCAUAGCCAUCUAAGUCGUAGCGCCCGCGCAAACUUGGUGAGGUCGAUGACACCAAGGCCCCCAAGGUCGGUUGGGCGGCAAACAUUGCGCCAAUUCACUUUACACUUGGCCCCGGUGGCCUUGUCCGUGCCCGCCCAAAGGAAAGCCCUCUGGAUCUUGUUAUAGUUAUGAAGUGUGCUGGCAGGAGGGUUGAGGGAGAUGAUGUGGUAGGUUAGCUGCGAAGUGAGGACUGACUUGACAAGAGCACAUCGCCCCAUGGUCGUAAUGUUCAGCCCAUCCCACGGCACAAGCCGUGUCGCCGCCUUAUCUUCAAGGAAUUGGAAGUCUCCUUUCCGAAGCUGCCAAACCGAAAGUGGUAGACCCAAAUAUUUGAUGGGGAAGGCAACCUUUCCGAAGCAGGCUAGCAAGAAUCGCAUCUAGAUCAAUAGCCACACAACGAAUUGGGACAACCGAGCUCUUCUGAAAGUUGGUGCAUAGGCCCGACACGUUGCCAAAGCAGGUGAGCACCUUUGAGAGAUUCUCAAUAUCUUCCUUGAUAGGGGCCAUGAAAACCGCCGCAUCAUCGGCGUAGAGGGAAGUGCGGAAUAUUGCCCUCCGUCCUCGAAUCUUAUGGAAGAGACCAUGGGUGGUUGCAAGGUUGAGAAUUUUCUGCAGCGGGUCAAUCGCGAUGACAAAUAGUAACGGUGAGAUAGGGUCCCCUGUCGAAGGCCGCAUGCAUGCAGGAUCGGAGGACCGACCACUCCGUUGAGCAAUAUCCUUGAGGAGGACGUAUGAAGCAAGGCGGUGAUCCAGUUACGAAACUUGGGUGGGCACCCUCUUCAACUUGUUCUCGAUAGUCCCUAGGGUAGAGCGGUGGCACCUCGGACACGACCUUGCACACGCAUCAAGUAUCACCGUUGGCCCUGGUGUCUGCACCGUCUAGAUGCAUACAAGCGCUGCUUGAAUCAACCAGCCUACCAGCACGAGCUGGGCUACAGGCUACGGCCAGAGGUCUUGAUCGGUCAGGUGCAAAAAAUAGGAAAAGCCAGUAAAUGCGACGCAUGCCGCUGCAGCCAGCCUUCGAGGCGAAGCUAUCGCAAGCAUUGCCGUCCUUUGGCCCGUGCCAGGCCUACGACACUCCCAGAGCGAGAGCCGAGAAUGCACGGAGGAUCAUGUGCCAUUGCCCAGGCUUUCGUCCGGGCAUGACGUUUGGAUGGCGGGGCAGCGUUCUAAAAAAUUCAUGUCUCGUGUGUCUUCGGUUCGUCACCGAGCCCCUCCGCCUUCAACGCUCCCACCCACGUCUCAUGAGAAGCACUGUCACUCUAUGGCCCUGUUUGGAUACUUUAACAUAGUUAGAAUUAGAGUUAUUUUCUAACCCACUCUAAUCCAAAUAAGCACCUCUCCACUGGGAUAGUUGGGUUAGAUGGAACUAACCCACUCUAAUCCUUCAUGUUUGGAUAUUUUUAGGUUAUUUAAGCCUCCAACUAACCCAAAUUAGCUCUAACCUCAUGAUCCAAACAGGGCCUAUAUUAGUGAACCAACACGCUGCAUGGAUCAAAGGGGAGUAUCUGGUGCGCUCGUUCAUAACAUGCUCCCAAGCUGAGCUCGUAUAUUUUAAAAAAUAUCGAUUUAAAUGUUUCAAAAACGUUUUAUUUUUGUGGAUUUUCGGAAAAGAUGUGUCUACGACACUAAAAAUCGUAUCUGAAUUUGAAUUACACGUCAAGAGAAAGGAGAGACAAAUCCAGAUGUUAGUAGUGUCGUUUUUUUGCUUUUCUAUUUUUGUGACACCAUUAGUGCUCGAUUUAUUUUUGAACAUAGUACAAGAUGCGGACGCUCAUAGAUAUGCUUAUACUCUCUUCGAUUGUUGAAGAGUGUACAUUUGAUUUUAAAAUUUAUCUACAAAAAAAGUGUAUUUCUAUCUUUCGAAUGCACUUUAAAGAAGAAAAAAUGUUUCUCUCUUAUUACACAGAAAUCAAGACCAAUAAUAUUCUACGCAUGGUCUCCUUAAUUUCCACAUGAAAUUAACUCAUUGGGGGUUGGAUAAUUAAAAAUGAAAGAGAUCGUGGCUUGCACAUUUCGAAUGCAUUUUUUUACUCCACUCCAUAAUUUGUUUAAAAAUUUCUACAUGUAACUUUUUUGCUGGACAAAGGGAGUACAUUCACCCUUAUGGAUGACGCACGCAAUCCUACCCCCUAUGAGCAUCUCCAAAAGACUAAGACGUCUCAUCAUUUUAAGAUUGACAAUGUCGUCAUAGAAGUCUUCGUAGUCGACAAGAACGUCUCCUUCCACUAAAUGUACAUUGUCGGAAGGGCAGGAAAAAAUUCAGGGAGAUGCUAGCACCAGUGUUAAGACAAGGACUUCAACUCUAAUGGAUCAGACAUCCCACUAUCCUCCUAACCUUCUAACUCAUGUUGGUUCGUAAUGUUGGAUUUUCUUGAGAGUGCUCACACUGGAGUUAUCUUUUUCUUUCUCCAUAUGUGAAAUGAAGUUUGAUCUGAAGUUUGUAGGGCUUGCAACAGAUGUCUUAUGACAUCCAUGAAAUGUUUCAGAAUUUUCUGAAAUAUUUAAAUUGUAUUUUUAAUGCGGGAGGAUGGUGGUUUUGAUGAAUGAGGGCAUUGGAUACUCACGCGCACGAGUUACAUGAAGCAAUCAACACAAGUACAAUGGAGGAAACACAAUGGAUGCCGUUGUGUGUGUGUGUGUGUGUGUGUGUGUGUGUGUGUGUGUGUGUGUGUGUGUGUGUGUGUGCGCGCGCGUGUGUGUGUGGGCGCGUGUGUGUGUGUGAAUUGACUAGUUAGUAAUACUUCCCUUUCGUCGGCGAUACUCAAGUAUUCAAAAACAUUGUGCAUGUGUCUUUUUUAGAUAAAGAAAGAACAUACUCUUUUAUUAAUACAUAUGUGACCUUGUCCCUUACUCCCUCAUUUUGAGUAAAGCAUUUUGGAAAAAAAUUCCAGGAUGAAAAAUAAGACUGUCAAUUGAGGCAUAGACCGACACUUUAAAAUGAUAGUAAGCUAAAUUUCAAAAUUUGAGACGCUUUUCUCCUCUGAAAUUCCAAGUAGUGGCAAACUGGAAUGAAAGUGUCUUUCUGCUGGCAAUGUCAAAUGCUCUCUUCUGAAUAGUAAAUCAGAAAUGAGUACUCUCUCCAUUCUUUUAUACAAGGCCACUUCAUAUUUUUAUAUCAAAUUUUGACCAUUAAUUUUAUCAACAAAAGUCAAGCUAUAUGCCACAAAAAAGUAUGUAAUUGGAUGCACAUUUCAAAAAACUUUCUAAUGAUAUAUUUUCUAUGACAUAUAAUCCAUAUUUUGUUGACAAUUUAUGAGUCAAAGUUUGAACGAGAAACGAAGUGGCCUUGUAUAAGGAAUGAAGGGAGUAAUAAAAUAAUAUUUAUUUUUUAUCCACAAACACUGGCGAUUUUUCUAAAUACAUGCAAAUUUUUGUGAAAAAAAGUUCUAAUGUUCUGGAAAAGGUCAUUGCUCUAAAAUGAUUUAAAAAGAGUCUUUCUGGAGAAUUGACUUUUUUCCGGAGCGUUUAGGACUAUUUUUCUUCACCAAAAUUUUCAUGUCUCUAGAUAAAUAAAGCGAGGGGCGACGCUUCGACAUCUAGCCAUAAGGCUGCUCCCAAUAGACCGGUACUUAGAUGGGGUGCUAAGCAUAUUAAAUAGCUUAGCAACCAAACUCCCCAAUGCAUAGGUGCUUAGCUUCUUGUAGCUAAGCUCCCUUCAUUUAAUGAUUUAACUACUAAACUCUCUCAUGCAUUGGUGAGUUUGCUUCAUUUAAAUAUUUUGCCUAAGUUCGCAUGCUUGGCAUUGGUUCUUCCUGAGGUUACCAAACCCAUCUCUCUCCUCUUAAUUACCUUGCCACAUCAGAUUUUUCGUCUACAUGACAUGCUUAGCAUCCAUACAAGGUGGAGCAUUGAGAGGGGCCUAGAGGGGCCAGCUCCACAAACGGCUCAAGGACCGAGAAAGAAUUGUUUUAAUAAAAGGACCACCCAUGGUGGGACCAAUGGCUAAACCACAGGGAAAGUGCUAGGGCUGCGACGACCACAUCCUUCCGAUGAGUGGGAACCGAUGAUAUGUUACGAGCCUGAAGCCGAGCUAAGACUGAUAAGAGUAACUCGCCUGUCGAGCCGGACACUUCAAGCCGAAGACAUUAGUCCGAGGAAGAUUGUUGUCCCCGGCUUCGAAGACAAGUUCAGGGGCUACUGACGGUGUCAUAGGCUAAGGAGUACCAAUUGAAAUGGCCCACAAUCCAUGGGCAGAGCUUACGGCCUGCAGAUCUCACAAGGAAAAACUCCGGAAGCUUCAAACUCAGACGUGAUCAAGAUGGACAUUGCCGAAGACUUGGCGUGUACUUCAAGGACUACUCCAGUUGUUGGCGUGUGUAUUCCUAAUUGGCAACCGACCACGUGUAACCCUAGAUACCCCUGGUGCCUAUAUAAACCAUGGAAUAUAGUCCACAGAGACACUAUCAAAAUUAUCAGCCUUAGAGUUUAGAACAUAACAUACAAUCUCAAUCUCAAGGUAGAUCAUCUUGUACUCGAUACUCCAUUAUCAAUACAAUCAAAGCAGGACGUAGGGUUUUACCCCUCAGAGAGGGCCCGAAUUUGGGUAAACAUCAUGUCCCUUAUCUCCUGUUACCCAUCGUUACUAGAUCCAUAGCUUGGGAUCCCCUACCCGAGAUCUGCCGGUUUUAGUACCGACAUGGCCGGUUCUUUUUGUACCUUUUUCUCUUGCUCUUUUUUUAGUUUCUUCCAUGCUUUCUCUAUUUUUUGUUUGGUUUUUUACUUCUGGUUUUUUCUUUAUUUCCUUUUUCCCUUUCCUUAAUACAUGGUGAACAUUUUAUUAAAAAAUGGUGAACAAUUCAUUAAUAUACAAUGAACAAUUGCUUAGUUGGUUCUUUAAUACACAAUGAACAAUUUGUUCAGGGUCAUCGUAAUGUUCACCGUAGAUUACAAAAAAGUUCAAUCCAUGUUUAUAGAAAAAAAAAC